UUUUUUUUUUUUUUUUUUUUUUGUCGACACGAUAGAAUUCCUAUAACCUAAACUAGCGGGGAGGGGGAGGGGAUUCGAUGUGAGUAAAGAUUCCAUCGAAAUUGAUCAAUGAAAACCGUCACAUAUUGUGACAAAUAUUGUGGGAGGCAAGGUUCGAACCCUUGACCUCCCGCACCCCAAGCUUAAGGAAGCUUGGGAUGACCACUGGACCAAAGGCCCAGUGGCAAAGCAAGAGCAGUUCACCUGCUCUUAAUUUUCCUCCUUUGAAGUACAAACUCAUGUGAGUGACCCGUAAUCCCUCCACCAUGAAAUCAAGUGUCCGCAGAAGUAGCAGUUGAACUGCUGGCUUGAAGAAGGGACUGACAAAACUCAUCUCCCAAAUCAUGUAAAAAUCCCAAUUUUUUUGGUUGGAUUUGCCCAAAAUAGACGCGCCGAAUUUGUGCUCAGAACAGCCGUUGGUACAGAGAAAUAAAGAAAGGCCUUCAGCGGCAAAAGAAAGAACAGGGGUUCAAUGAGAAAUAUUUGACUGUCCAAUGAGAAGGAAACGGUUUAAAAGAAAAGGGACUUGAUAAAUGGGAUUUUUGUUCAGUGGAGUCGGUUUUUUUGCUUUUCCGCUUCAUAAAUGGGGUCAAGUGCUGUUUUGUUCCAGACAUGGUCUAAUGAGAAAAGCAACGGUCCAAUGAGAAAUAUGUGAUUUUGUCACAUGGCAAAAGAAAAGGAAAGCACAAAUAGAAAGAAAAGAAAUGGUCCAAUGCCAAAAGAAAGAGAAUGCUCCGGACAAGUUGCAAAGAGAAGGCUUCAACAACUUGCAAGAAAUAUUUGGCUUGCCACUUGUCAAAUAAUAAAGAAGUCACUUGGCAAGAGGAAAUGAAAGCAGCAAACCUUGCUCUUUUCUUAUAUACCAAGGUAGAAAAAAAAAAUCUUAUUAGACGCAUCUAAUACUGCACUGAAAGAUUCUUCAUUUUUUUUUCCUUGGAUUGCCUUUUCUCAAAGGAAACUUGCGAGCAUACACGUACCGGAAAAUCACACUAAACUUCGUUGCACAAAUUAACCACACCAUUUUCCACAAAGACGCUGCAAAUAAAAAAAGCUAAUUAACAAGAGUACAAGCAAAUAAAAAUUCCCUAAACCAUAAUAUUAUCACGAAUGUGCCUGAGCAGCACCGGAACGACGACGUCCGGCGAGCUCAACUGGGGAAGAUGACCGUCGGUGGACAUGACCUCCACCACGGACUCACACCCUAGAUUUUGAUGAAGGUACUCGGAGACCACCACCGGUACGGCCAAGUCCUUCAUGCUCUGGAUGAUGCGACAAGGCACCCUCACAUGGGCUAGCAAAUGUCUCGUGUCACUACAGAAAAUGGUUCGAGCAACGCUGAGUGCUAUGUCAGGCCUCAUGUUGAAUAGUGUCCUGCUGAAUUCUUGCACGGCAACCGAGUCCAUGUCUCCUCCAACGGCCAAGGGUGCAAAUCCAUCGCACCAUGCCCUGUAAUUUGACUUCAUGGCUUCGAACAACUGGUCCAGAUCUUCCUGCUCGAACCCUCCAUAGUAAUCCACGUCGUUAAGGUACCUGUUUGAUUGGAGGAAAUUUGUUUUUAAACAAAAAUAAAAGCAAAAUAGAAUGACGAAAGAAGUGUAGGAAGAAAAAAAUUAAUAAUUUAAUCAAUUGACUACAUGUAGAAUUUCCUCGUUAUGUUUGUCGGAUUAUGAAGGGGGGUGGGCAUGGUUUUGCCAUUCCAGGCCCCACUUCAAAAGUCAUUCUUUUCUACUAAGUGGAAAAAACAAAUGGAAUGGAAUACAUCAAUUCCAACUUGUAAUUCUCAACCCGAAGGCUGCGUCAACUUGAGAGAAAAUAGAUUAUUGCUAUUGCAUCACGUUCGCUUUCAUGAUAUACAGUUGGGAACAAAUGGAAAGCAGCAGACGGUAUCUGACCUACCUACAGGUGGUAAAAUAUAGAGCUUGGUUGAUUUCACAUUAUAAAAUUUUUAGGAUAAAAUAAUUCCAGAAAAAUUUUUCCCCCUAAGAGGAAAUGAAAUUUCUUCCAUCAUUAGGAGUUAGAACAGUAAAAGCAACGAAUACUCCGCAGACCUUAACAUGACGACAGGGCCUACUGAUGACCAUUUGAUUAGACGACGUGAUUUUUUUCCCCUUGGCCUCCAAUUAACCCCAAAAGAUGGAAACCAAGGAUUAUGGCUGCAGUUCUUCUUCUUGUAAAACAAAAAAAAAACAACACCACCGACCCCUUGCCUGAAUAUUGUACUAAACUAGUCCAUAAGAAGUAACGAAAUUUUGGGAAAAUUUGUGGGUUUGUUAGCUUAAUUCCAGUACGUGUUCAGUAUUACUUUGUAAUUCAGGUGUACAAGCUGGGCGUGGUGGGAAUUAAUUUGCAGGAGCAGGCAGUACUAGUAAUUACUAUUUAGUUACCUAGGUGAGCCAGAAACCAUGACGAGUUUGGUGAAGAGGUCAGGGCGAGCAAUAGAAGCGACGGCGCCAAUCAUGGCCGAAACGGAGUGGCCAACAUAUAUGCAGGAAUCCACCCGGAGCUCCUCCAGUAUUGCGAUCACAUCAUAGGCAUAGCCCUCCAGAGUAGCAUAUCUUUCGAAGUCAAAGUAGUCCGGAUUGGUGGUUCCGGCGCCCAUCUUAUCGAACAAAAUAACCCUGUAAUCCUCCACUAGGUGUGGCACCAGGUGCUUCCACACCGAUUGAUCCGUCCCGAACCCAUGCGCCAACACUAUGGUCUGCUCCCCAGAACCUAAGACCUUGGCGUUGUGAGCUUCCUCCACUAUCCCCAUCUGAUUUAUGUUAGUAGUACGGUACCACUUAUUCUCCUUCCCUUCUCCUCGCCGCGAUGAACUAAUUAGGUCUAACAGCAAGGCUGGCUAGUUUUUGUGAUGGUCAGUCCACAAGACUCGAAAACUUGUUUAUAUUGGGAUUAAGCAGGCACUUGGGCUUUGAUUGUCUGCUACUUGACUUACCAUCUGUGAGAUUUUUUUAGCACUUUUCUGGGCGGUAACGGAGAGAGAGCUUUAUAGUGGGACGAAGGAUGAUGACUAACGACUAAGAACCACAUGUGCUUCAGCACUGUUCUUGAUCAGAAUACACGUACAUACGAAUGGUCAUGCUGUGUACAUGCCUAUACAAAGUUAAUUCUCAAAUUAUUUUUUAAAAAAGUAAAAAAUCUAGGGAGUUCCUAAAUUAUUAUUGUUGCCCAUUUUUUGCCCCUGAUAUAUUUUUUUGGUCUCCAAUUAGCCCUUAAAUAAUUAAAAUUGCAUAGUUUUAAGGACUUCUGACCAUUUUAGACAUAAAUCCAAACGGACUCGAAGGGCAUUUUUGUCCAACACUAAUAAAAAACAACGAAUUUAGGAUUUUCGUAGAGAAAUUUGACUAAGAAUUCAAGCAAAAUAAAGGAUUUUUUCUUUUCAAGGUUUCUAUUCCUACUCUCGCUACUUUUUAUUCAGUUCUGAAUAAUUUUCAUUAUGAUCAGACGAACAUGCCCUUGUAUCCCGGCAGAAUUUAUGUUUAAAAUGGCCAAAAUUCUUCAAAUUACACACUCUUAAUUGUCCAGGAACCAGUCAAAGACAAAGAAUAAAUCAGGGGUUUGAAAGUGGACAAUAAUGACAGUAUAGGGACUCCCCCAAAUUUUUUCACUCUCUUAAAAAAAAAAAACUAGAAAAUUAAAGAGAAAAGUUAAUUCGCUUAAGCGUUGAUGUUUGACGCGUAUACAAAUUGAAAUUAUUCGUCUGCAUGUGGUCGUCAUCCAUUUGUGAGCUGAUGGAGGGAUCACGGACAGCUGGUUUUGCAUUUUGAUUAAUUCAAUCCUUCUGCAUACGACAGAGGGUUAAGAAUUUUAUUAUAAUACUAAUCAAGAAGGAUUAACAAAUUUGAGAGACAAUCGAAGUUUGCAUGAUGGGGCGGUGGAAUCUUCUGGGGCUGUGAUGGGGAUUGGUCGACGAAAUUGUGUGAGAUUCCCUCCUAAUGGAGUCAGCAGUUUUACAAGUGUUGCCCUGCGCGGACUCCAUGCUCUGAAGAUUACGACUCAUCUUGCUUGAUUGGAUCUUCGAAAUUGGCUAGUUUCUUUAGUAACACAAUUAUUGGGUGGUUGUUGAUGCUGAUGUUUCUGUUAGUUUACAAAAGUUCUGCACCGUAAUCGUCAUGAGAAGGUUGUUAAUGUACUUAGCGGCAUACUCUAACUUCCAUGAUGAGGAUAUAUAUUUAUCGUAUUUGUCGUAGCAUACAAUUCGAAAGACGAUACCAGACGAUAAACAUGUAGAGAUAAUUCUCUGUAGUAAUUAAUCUUUGCUGAAGUUUGGAGGGAAAAAAAAAAAAAAAGAUUAAUCUUAGCUGAAGUUGAGAAUGCCCAACAGGUCACGUCGACUGUGAUUUUCACAAUGGACAGCCUUGCUUUCGUCUCACUAUUGAUGAGGGGUUAUUUUCAUGUUGGAGGCCAACUGAGAUUGACAAUACAUGAUGGGCUUCUCAUUUCCUCUCCGGCGACCAAGAGUACUCGGCAAAUGCUACUCCAUGGUGAAAGUGCACUAAUGCAGCAUAUUCCGAUCGAUUGCAGGCUUUUGUGCGGAAGUCUACAUCCACCAAAAUAAUGUCAUCGUAGUUUUACCAAGAAUCAAAUUAGAGAAAGUUACGGAUGCUGUUUUUAAUUAGAGGUGAUUUAUGAUUUUGUGCAAGAAUUUAAGGCCUUUAUCUAGUUUUAGAAGCCGGACAAGUCUGAAUUGAAUUUGAGAAAUCAAGACAGACUUCCGACCUGGAAAAAAAAUAUUAGCUACACCACGUCACACGCCACGUGACAAUACACUAAUACCAAUCAAAACUACGUCAAAUAAUGUGGUGAAUCACUCCUUAUCUAGCACUUGCUAUACAAGAAAUGACCCAUCACCAUUAUUUAAUAUAAUGACGAGUGAGUGAUAUUAAUGUACUAUACGGCUUACGUGGCACGCCUAAUGCCUUUUCCUUGAACCUCAGGUGCUUAUGGAAGGUUUUGCAAAUAUUUAUGUUAAUAAAAAGAGAAUUUCCAAUCUCUCGUUUAGAAACUAAUUAAACAAAACUGAAGAUAGUUACAGGUAAUAAACUACGCCACGACAGGAAUAUGACAACGUCCUUUUCUCUUAUGGCGUCGUAAUUAGUUCUUGCUCCUGUCCAAGUCUAUAGUUCACGCUAAGGAAAUUUCAUUUGAAUUGUUUCGAGGGAUGCCCUGCUCAUUUUGAUGCAUCAAUUCGCUGUAAGAUCAAUCUCCCUUUCAGAUCCCCUGGGAAUCGAGAGGACUGUGGAGGGACCAGAGAGAGGAAGCAGGCGCAAUUAAGGGCCCUUCCGGAAAAUAUAUUUUAUUAUAGAUUAAUAGAGUUAUAAUCGAGCUGAACCGUUGUCUUUCAAGUUCAGUUGAUCAAGUUAUCAAGUCAUGCUCAAGUUCUGCUCCUUUAUGUAAUGAGUCAAAAAUUUUGUUUGAAUUUAACUCGUUAAAAUUAUCUUGAAUUCAAAUUCAAACUAUGAUUGAGUCAUUUGAACUUAAAAAGUUUAAAUGUGUUUAAAUAUCUUAUACAAUUUUACAACUCAAAAAAUAUAACCAAUUUAAUUAGCCUAUUGAAUGAGAAAAAUUACACCAAAUAUAAAAAGGAUUUGUAAUAGUUAAACAAAAUAAAAUCUUAAGCAACCAAGACAAGAUAAAUCUACACAAUUACUAAGAAAAAUUAGUAAUAUUUGUUUGAAUAAAUGUCUAGACGAGUUUAAACGAACUAUUCUCGAGUCAAACCUAACUUGGUUCAUCUAAUUAAACAGGUCUAAUUUAAUGUUUGAGCUUGCUCAUUUAAUUAAAUUAACGAGUUGAACUCAAGCUUGUACGAACCAAAGCCAAGCAGGCUGUACAUUUAACAGCUCUACACAUUAAUCAACUAUAGUAGAACAUUUUUAGUUGCUUUCUUUACAUGUUGUCCCGAAUGAUGCUAAGCAAACACGCAUGUUGAUUCCCUAGUAAAGAAAAACUACCCAUAUUGAACUGCCACGAGCUAGGAGCACGUCACAUUAUUUGUUCUGAAAAUUUCGGAUUAGUAAAGGUCCGGUUGACCUGCUGAAUGCAUUGUCAACUUAGUAGGUCAUUGGGUCAGCACGACUCCUUUAUUCGUAUGGCCAUUUUUUUUUUUUUUUUCUGUUAACCAUCGACUUCUACGGAUGAGGAGAGUUAAAAGAGAUAGGUUAUGUCUUUAGACCAAAAGAUUGUACUGCUGCACAAGAUUUAAAUUUUAUUGUAAUUGUAAAAAUUUAAACCUGUGACCUGCACCAUAUAUAGUAUUUCACUCGGUGGCUAACCCGUCAAGGAUGAGAGUUAGUUUGGGGCUGAGCAUCCUGAUAUAGCAAGACUGUCGUCUUGUCACCUGCCGAUUGACUAUUUUAGACAAGUAUUUAAAGACCCCAGAGUCCAAACGAAGACAUCCUUUGAAGACUCGAGUGUGAAUUUCUCAUGGUAUGGUAUAUUAUUGGUGUUACCUAUGAUAAGAAGGGACAUACCUGCAUAUAUGAACAUGUAUGUUAAUAUGAUAAAGACCUCACAUGCAUCUUUAUACUUACGUCUGAUGACGAGAGGUAUAGUCUGUCAUAAAAAAUGGUGCAAGAAUUUCGUGCAUGUUCAUUAUUGAUCAAAUGGGCCAUGAAUCCAACAGCUAAUUUAGGCCAUUUCCCUGAUUGAUUGAUUGAUGUAUAUGCGUACCAAAGUUUUAUGAUUUUCACGUCUGAGAUGUUUUAUUUUUCAAGGAAGUGCAUAUAUAUAGGGAUUCGGGGGCUGGAACGGUUGUCAGUUCAACCGUUUCGGAAGGUGUAACAUUAUUUGCACACGGUAUAAUAUCAUCUAUACAAAGUGUAACAAUAGAACAAUAGUGAGUAACACUAAAACAACUUUUUUGUGGGUCCCACACGACGUGAAAAUCGAGUUACAAGGAGUGAUUUGAGCCGCACAAAAUUUUUUGACCAAAUCAUGGCCGUCAAUUGCCAGGAGCGGUUGUCUGGCCCCUCGUCCAUAUAUAUAGAGAGAGAGAGAGAUGGUAGAUGCUGAAAUUCAUAGAGUUGCAAAUUACUCUUAGAUCCUAUUUGAUAAUUCAAUUCACCAUUUAAACUUAAUAGAUUCAGAUUUUAAUAUAUUCAGACCGUUUGAUAAUAAAAAAUUGAACAUUUGAAUUAAUUAAGUGAUACUGAAUUUUCUAGAUAAAACUUGCUUUCAAAAUUAAGCAAUAAACUAUUCACUUAUCACUGAAUGUGACAUGCACUUAAAUAUAUUGAAUUUAAUAUUUAAUAAUUCAAUAACUUUAUAGAUUCAGAUUUUAAAUUUCAGGAUUCAGUUUUCAGACUUGAGUUUCAUUACUUCUUUUUAAGUCUUACCAUUUCCUAUAUCUUUAUCCCUAAAAUAUAUGUAUUUCUACUAUCUAAUUUGUGGAUGCUUUUGUGUAUUUCUCUUCCCUAAAAGUUAUCGCGUUGGUUAGCUAACUCCUAUCCAGUUCUUAAUUUGGGCUUAUAUUUGGAAAAUCCCGUCCGUUUGUCUGACUAUUAAACUGACCACAAAGAAAGGUUUCUCGUUCCAUUUGUGGUCUGACGGAAAGCCCAAUUACAGGAGUUUUAUAUUGAUAGGUCUGAAAACAGUAGCAUGUUUUGGGCUUAUCCUGUUCCAGAUAUAAUGAGCUGUAUGCCAGAACGUCCGCUUAGCCCAACGCAAGUUGGCCCGCUUGCUUAUAUGUACCCUUCUGAUUGAAACAUGCGCGUGGCGGCAUUGCCCACGAAGGUUAUAAUACAUGUGAAGAAAAGCACAACGGCCAUGCGAUCCUUCUCUUCAAGUAGUGCCUUCGGACGUUGUUUGGCAUUGCAAUGUUAAUUAGGGAAACUUAUUCUGGAGUUUUAUUUGUGAAACCCUCUUUUAGUUUUAAUUACAAGCACUUGGUAAUGUUUAGCUCUUUUUCGGCAAGUGGAGUUUUGUUAGUUUAAAUCAAUUCGUGUAAUUCUUAUUAUCAUUAGUAUGAACUCAUACAAUGUUGGUGUAAUCAUAAAUUGUACGCCAACUUAAUUGUAUGAAUUGUAAAUUCAAGUUUACAUAAAAUAAUUACAUUAAACGAUUUGAGUUGAACUUUUAAUUUGUUGGACAUGGUUGGUAUCAUGCUGUUGGGAGGUAGGAGCUUGAAAACGUGUAGUCCCCUCACGGUCACACCAAGCGCGUCAUCCUUACUCCUACUCUAUUCUAAUCUAACUAGGGGGAAAGCUCAACUAAGCCUAUGGGGGAUCGAGGGAUCGAUGGAAACAGAACCACCACCGCAUCAGACAGUGCACAACGCAUUCAUCUGAAUUUUUUAAAGGAUCACAUAAUGUGACAAUUUGGUAGGAGGCAAGUUUCGAACCCCUGACUCCCACGCCACCAAAGCCUUAAAAACUUGGUAGUGGCCACCAGUCUAAGGCUCAUAAUAUACCCACCCUCCAGGGCAAUUUCUGCAAGCUGCCAAUUUUAGAAUUAGUUUUGACUUUCCAGUUUGCACCACCGUUCAAAUCUUAUCCAUUACAAUGAGCUAAUAAUCUUGUCAAGAGUGAGCCUUUAGCAAUGAGAAUUCUUAGGAUCAAGUUUUCACUAAAUUGUAAUUUGUCUGCACGAGCGUUACUGAUCAUUAUGCAACAAUUGUAAUCUUAAAUAAAACGAUUGAAAAAACGAUCACUAAAACAUACAAUUACCUCUAAGCUGUAAGAGGAAUUGAAAAUGGAAACAAACGUUACAAAUAUUUUUUUCACAAAAAAAAAAAAAAAAAAACGCACGCACACGCACACUGGCACACAGUCAAAGCCCAUCUACGAAGCUUAGUACAAAUACAAGUACAAACGACGUCCGCUGAUCAGAAAUCACUACUCAUUUCCAAUAUCAUGUCGAAUAUGUCGGAGAAUGACCGGAAUUGUGAUGUCCGGCGAGCUUAACUGCGGCAGGUGACCCUCCGUAGAAAUGACCUCAACCAGAGACUGGCCCCCAAGAUUCUGGUGGAGAUACUCCGACACAGCUAAAGGUACGGCCAAGUCCUUGGUGCUUUGGACGAUAUGGCUAGGGACGGUGACGCGGCAGAGAAAAUGCCUGAGGUCGAACGUAAAUAUGGUCCGAAACACGCUCAGUGCUAUGUCCGGCCUCAUGUUGAACAAGGUCCUGCUGAAUUCUUGGACGGCAACCGAGUCCAUGUCUCCCCCCACCACAAGGGGUGCAAAUCCAGAGCACCACGACUUGUAAUUCGCCUCUAUUGCAUUGCAGAGUUGAUCCACAUCUUCUUUCUCAAACCCUCCGAAGUAGUCGUCAGUGUUUAUGAACCUUCAAGAAAUCAAAAGGAUAAGCAACUUUUUCUUUUUUUUUUUAAGUCAUAGUACAUAACGCACUGCAAUCAAUCCUAACUAUUGGAUUGGAAGCGAAACUUUCUUUACCGCGGGGAAGCCGCAAUCAUGAUGAGUUUCUCGAAAAGAUCAGGGCGAAAGAUGGAGGCAAUUGCACCCGUCAUGGAGGACAGAGAAUGGCCGACAAAGAUGCACGAUUGAAUUUGGAGCUCCUCCAAAAUGGCCAGUAAAUCAUAGGCAUAGCCUUCAAGAGAGGCAUAUCUUUCGAAGUCGAAGUAGUCGGGGUUCGUCGUUCCAGCUCCCAUGUUGUCGUAAAGGACGACGCGGUACUCAUCAACAAGGUGAGGUACGAGAUGUUUCCAAAGGGAUUGGUCGGUGCCGAAGCCAUGGCCAAGGACGACGGUCUUCUCGCCUGACCCCAGGACCUUCACGUUAUGUGCAUCUUCAACCACUCCCAUCUUCUUCUUCUUCUUCUUCAGUCACUAACGGAUGCCAAGCACUCUCUCUCUUUAUUAACUUCUUGGGCUGCCCUUGCCUGUUUGUCUGGGGAACGAUAAUGCAAUGGGACCGUAGCCGUGGACUAUUGGGGGCGAGGGAGGCCGCUUGGACUUUACCGGUGAUAGGGAUCAAGGAAAGGCGUCGAUCACGUUCAUUGAUUAAUAAUGAGAUCGAUGAUAUUCUUUCCAGCUAUUAGGGCUUCAGUCUUCAGGACCAUAUAUGUGUGAUAUUUGUUCAUCGCUAGCUCAUCCGUUAAAUAUCUAACCGUCCACGACAUAAACUCGUGUAGGUAGUUUAAUUCAUGUGGUUGGUUGAUGCCAUUGCUUGCUUAUGAGUUUCGAGUUUCCCAAAAUCUAUUCUACCGCAACGGAUCCUCUGUACCACACCUGUCUCACACCCUAUCCCACCCCUCCUAAACUUGCCAAGUGUCCUUUUAUUAAUCCAAUCCUGAAACAACCCAACUCGAACCAUAUUUAAUUAAUUAAUCGAUUAAUCGGACUGAGAAACUUAAUCUCUAUAACCAAAAUCAAUUAAAAUAAAAACCCAAAAAACAAAAUUAGAGAUUAAACAAGGCACAAAAAAAACCCACAAAAUUCGGGCAGGACAACAAAGCGCAAUUCAACGCAGCAGGCCACGAUUCUGGUUUCCCAUCAGAUUGGUAUCCUUCUCAAAAGCUUCAUCCGUGAGACUUCUUGUUACCCUCCCAAGGCAGUUCCCAUCAGACUUCCUGUUUCUUAUGGAGAAGUCUCCAUGUAGGGCUUCGAAGCUUCGUUCGUGAAUAUUUCGUCAAAGCUGAAUGGUGAAGAUGAUGAACUCGGACAGCCCUGCUGCGUUGCGAUGAAGCUUUUGAGAAGGAUACCAAUCUGAUGGGAAACCAAAAUCGUGGCCUGCUGCGUUGAAUUGCGCUUUGUUGUCCUGCCCGAAUUUUGUGGGUUUUUUUGUGUGCCUUGUUUAAUCUCUAAUUUUGUUUUUUGGGUUUUUAUUUUAAUUGAUUUUGGUUAUAGAGAUUAAGUUUCUCAACCCGAUUAAUCGGUUAAUUAAUUAAACAUGGUUCGAGUUGGGUUGUUUCAGGAUUGGAUUAAUAAAAGAACACUUGGCAAGUUUAGGAGGGGUGGGAUAGGGUGUGAGACAAGAUGUGAUACAUAGGAUCCGUUGCGCUAUUCUACCACCGUCCUCGCACCUAAAAAUAAAUAAAUAAUUAUUGGAAUUUGUCAAGAGAAGAGUUCCUAAAAACAGCAGGCAUUAUUGGAAUUUUUUUUUUGUGUGGCUAAAUCAUUUAUAACAAAAUAAAUGAAAGCAUGCGUAGUAUUAACUAAUUACUGGAAUGUAUCUGAACUGGAUAUGUAAGAUAGCCAUGGAAAAUUGAAAAAUAAUAAGUUGUCUUUAGCAUCAUAGACAAAAAAGAGACUUAUAAUAAAGUAUGAUUUGAUUAUUGUAUUAAUGUCAAUAAAAAAUAAAAAGAAAAUUCUUCUAAGCCGGUUAGACCAUAAUAGACUAGUUAACACAUAUUGUGCAUAAAACAUACGCAAAACCAAUUUGCAAUCAUUGAGUAUGUAAUGACUUGAAACACAACUGCUUAACAUCGAUUAAAUUAAUCAAUUUUUUUUAAAUAAUCAACAAAUUCCUUUGCAUUUUACUCACUAACAAAAUCAUGCCAUGUUAAUUUUAUAUUUUAAUUUGAAAGAGAUUGAUAACACUAGGGGAAUUAUGGAUUUUUUUAUUAUCCUUGAAAUGUACAGCAAUAAAAAUGAUUUUAAAAAAUGUUCGAUUUUCGAUGAGUCAUAUAAAUAAGGAACAAUAAACCCAUCUUAACUAAGAAAUGGAGAUUUUAAAUUAUCACGACAUGGGUAAGUCGAUUUACUUUAGUAUUUAUUGAAGGUGAUUAAAACUCAAAUGCCUUACCUUUUCAUUCUAAAAAGCAAAUAGGGUCAUACAAUAAUUUGCAAAAGUAAAGUCCAUGCACGAAUACUACAAACUAAAAGUCUUGAGGAUUGCUAUACUGCAUUGGCUAGAAUUUUUGGGGCCAAUUUGAAAAUUUUUAAAAUUUUAGCAUAUUCCCCAUCUUUUCUCAAGGGAACUCUGAAACCCUUCACAGCCUCCAUUACUCUACUAAAACUUCUGGCGCUGAUGGUGGAGGAAAUUGCAGCUGGCAACAAGCCUUCCUAACCCUGGUCCUCGUACUAAGACAAAAACUCCUAUCUCCCUCAUUUUCUUGUCUUGACAGAGAAAGAAUAUAGGUCGAUUCAAGGGAAAGAAAGAAGAAGCUUCUUUUUUUUUUUUUUUUCGUCGAAUACGGUAGACCUACAUUAUUUUAUACUAAAGGGAGGGAGGCGUGGAGAGACCCAAAGAUAACUCAGAGAGGACUAAACUAUCACUCGACCAGACAGGUACACUAUACACUCGUAUAGAUUUUUUAAGCAGACCCAUAUAUGGUGGCAAUUAGCAGGAGGUUAGGUUUGAACCCAUCAAGCCUUAAUGUUUUGGCGGUGAUCACCGGGCCAAAGGCUGAAAAUUAGCUAUGGAUAUCUACGGGUUCAAGACAAGAGGGGGAGAAUUAAGAAGCAUAUUAGAAAAGAUUCGAAUAAGAGAUUUUACCUGAAAGCAGAUCACAGCUGGUUUCUUUAGCCAUUUCCUUUGAAUUCCUUUCCCUGUGCUUUCCACCUCAACCCAACGUGGGAAUUCAAUUAUGAUGGAAUCACUUUCCUUUUUCUUAGUGGUUUCCUAGAACCAAACGGGGCCUUAAAAUUCUAUUAUUAUUUUUUUUAUAUUGUAUGAUGAGAAAUAACACAUACUGUUGGUGUUAGAUUGAUAGAAAAUUUAACUUUAUUUACUUAAUAUCCACUAAAACUUGAUUUUAAAUAUAUAAGUUAUUUUUAUAUGGGUGAAUCGGGACAACUCACUGUCCACCAAUAAAAUGGAUUUAAUUAGAUAUCAAUUUAAACCCAUUUUAAAUUCAAGGCAUACUCAAAUCCAGUGGAUGAAUUUCAGCAGAUCAACAUAAUUGAAAUUAUGUUUAACACCUCUAGAGCAGACCCUUCCAAAGAAAAUGAAAACAUACAGAUAUAUGUUUUUGGGCACUCGGCACUAUAAAAAUUAGUUAAAAGAAAAUGAUUGAAAUCGUAAGCGGGCACUGGACAAGCAGGAACUGGUUGCGCCACGGUUUUUUUGGGUUGUUCUGGGGGUGGAGCACGAUGACUCACAUUGGACCAGAAUGUGCAUUUUGGUAGAUUCAGAGCACUGCUCCAUAAGCUGUGCAAUACACGAAAACCCGAUAAGCGCAUUAUGAUUCUGCGAUUAAUAGAAUAUAAGUAGUUGGAAUUGUCUCAUUCAAUAGGUAACAGAAUCACCAUAGAAGAAGAGUUUUGAACGGCUCCGCCUAUUUGGUUUUCACUUCCUACUCGAGCUUAAUGAGCUCCAUCGCCUCUCACUUGGCUUGAUAAGCAAUCCAUUUUUGAGCCAAUGACUGGCAUGUUGUCUGGUCCUAGUUUAAGCGGCCCGGAACACCAGUUCACUUUAAUCAUCUAAUUUGACAACGCCCACUUCAUUUGGGAAGAUAAGUUCAGCUUUUACGGUGUAGUUGAUCCGCUAGAGAAUAAAUGCUGCUUGAGUUUUUCUCUCAAGUGACCUAAAUCCAUUUGCAUUCCUCAAUCAAGCAUCACUCGUUGCCAUGCCCGUGGUUCCUUCUAGUGCACUUCGGGGAAAAAAAAAAAAAAAAGGAACGCAAACUUCUUGCCUUUUCUCUUGGGUUGAAGAGAAUGCAGACAAUUUACCAAAUUACAGAAUUGAUCCGCACGACACUGGUUCAUAUAUCACUUCAUUGAUGGAAAGGAUGGAACAUGUGAAGUUCGAAAAAAUUCAAUCUGAAAAGAAACAAAUUCAAACUCGGGAAAUUGCAUGGCAUUUUUGGUAAAGAAUGAGGGCAUCACAUCACAUAAAUGUAAGACCAAGCAUGGCUACUAUACUCUUUGGCACCAGUGUGAUUCCAAACGAUGACUGAUCAACUUUAUGUUCCCUAUCCGCAAGCUGAAACGCUGUUUUAUUAUUCUACAUGGUUACACGGGUACGUCUGUAUCUAACAAAUACAACACUCCCUAGGACAGAGAAAGCAAGAUGAGGUGAAAAAAACCCAGCGGGGAAGUCAUUAAUUUGGACACAACCCUUCCUCACAAGGGUAAUAUACAUGACCCCUUCCUUCUAUCAAUGGCUCCGAAAGCUCCAUCCGAACCCUGUUUCGAAAGGGAAACAAUAUUUACAGGAUAGAGUGAUUGUGUACCCGGGAUUGUCAAGGAGAAACCUGGGGUGUAUUGUCUGCAUGAUCCGAAUUCAGAGAAUAGAUAUCAACAGGGACACUAGUGCAGUCGAAGAUUCCAGUAUCCUUCAGUCUAAAAGUUGGAGAGCCUUGAUGAUCAAGAUAAAUCACAAUCACAGUAAUGUCAUCGUGGAAAUGGCGCCUAGCUCCUUUUUCUAGUCUUUUUAUGUCAUUAUAUUUCAUUUCUCUUUUCUUAGCGGCCUCUUGCAAGGCAGCUCUCACCAAUCGCUUUGCAAUUCCCUGCACCGUGUAACAGACAAACCCCGUAAUGAGAAGUGAUUAAAGCUAACCAACAACAAGAUUAAUAACAAGUCAGUUAUUCUCAAUUCUGCAGAUUAUAAUACUUAAGCUUUAAAGAUCAUGCAGAUUCUCACAAUUCUGGGAUUCUUAACGACAAUUUCCACAGCUUCCUCAUCGGUCAGUUGCUCCCACAGGCCAUCUGAUGCAAAUAUUAAGAACAAGUCUUGUGGCCUUAACUUUCGAAUUAAUAUCGACGGCUCAGCUGACAUGACAGCCCUUUUCAGAGGCACAGGGUAUCCAAAUUGCUGGAACAUAGGGUCUCUGUUAAAUUCGGGUUUCUUAAGAUAUAUAUCCCCAAUGGACCUAGAUACCUGACAAGCAAGAGGCGAUAAGCAGAGAUGCCAUUUUCAGUAGUCAGAAGGAACAGACAAACUUCAGCAUGAACAAUAAUAUAAAUAACAGCUAUAACAACCAUUUUAGCUCCACAAAAUCAGAUUGCAAUUAAACAAGUCAAGCUAUCAUCAGAUGUAAUCCAAAAAGGAGUUUUAGAUACAGCUAAGAACUAACAUAUCCAUUAAUGGAACAAUCCAGUGCAAGAGGGGAGAAGUGUGCAAGGGAUUUGGUCAGUUAAAAUCAUGGUAGAGAUAAAAGCAAGAAUUCUGUCGCAUCAAAGCAUUUAGGGCCCAAUCAAACUCAAGGUUGUUGGCUGCCAUGAAGAUAUUAAAGGGACUUGGUAAACCAUGCCCAAUGUAAAAAGCAGCCAUAUUUUGAUGUUUAAAGUAGGUUGAUCAGUUUUGAAAUGUUAACUGCCUCGAAAAGAGUACUUUGAAAAAAUAACUCAACUCAAUUACAACACAAAAUUAAUAAAGAAGCAUGGGAGGAAUGGAUGAUAAGGAAAAUAUUUCAAAACACAUUCCCUGAACAAAUAUGGCAGAAUUUAUUCCUAUCUCCAUGUUUACUUCCCUCGUAUAGUAGAAAUUAUUUAUGAAGCACAGUGACUCCUAAGACAUGGCCAUUCCGGAAAAGUUAAACGCAAUUAACCUCCAGUAUUGAAUCACCCGCAUGGUUCAGAUAAAAAACAGGAAGUUGUUCAUAUGAGGUAAUGCAAGAGUUAUUUAGAGCAAUAACAGGAGCACCAUGUUACUUCUGGUUUAAGCAAUAAAGAAAACACAAAGGAGAGAAGCCUAAUAUCUGACGCAAAUCCAAAAUGAACCCAAAGCAAUUCCGUAGCCUGGUUAAAGGAAAUAUUCGGGCAAGCCAGAAAUGCAACUUUGCUGAACAGAUAUAUCCACCUCCCCGACCAACUCUUUUGAAAGCAUUUACAUUCUCGAGGAUGGAAGUAUAGACAUUCAUCUAAGUUUACUUAUUGCAGUGCAAAUCCAAGCCUCACAAGCAAACAUGACUGUAGCCAUUGGAAAAAAAAAAUGUUACACAAAGUGCAGAUGGCCUGAUAGUUUUUAAAGCUUACUAAGCACCAGGAUACUACCAGCACUUACUUGAAUUAGUGUUCUUUCUUAUGUAAAAGGAAGAGAAAAUCCCAUAGCCUGAUUCAUAUAAAAUAUAAAAGUAGUUGACCCUAUUAUAUCUAUCAAUCAAGAGCAGAAUUCUAGUACUAGAACAAGGCACAUGUUCCUCCUCUGCAUCAUUUUUUUUUUCAGUUGAGCUCCUCCUCUGCAUCUUUACCGUGCCUGUCCUACACAUUAUAGGUACUCUUUAAGCAGAGAGCCUAUCUCAAAGCAUGAAUGACUUCACAUUCUUAAGCAGUGCAUGUUGUGGAAACAUUUUGAAGAAAUUAAAAACAAAACAUAGAGGAAAAGGUUCUUUUGACAUUGAAAUAAACUCCUCAGAAGCUGAUUAGAAAUGAACAAAAUUUCCACUUCAUUGCUAUCGAACUACAACAAAGUUGACUGCUAUACCUCCUUAUCGACCAUCAAUAGAAACUGAAAAUGGAAAAACUGGAGGGUUUUAUCUCAUGUAAUCAAUCGAACUGCAGGCAAAGAACACCUGAAUUCAUUGUGAGAUGAUAAUUAUAAACCUCUAAAGUGGGGAACGGACAAGAAAUGCACCAAAUCCUUGGGUAGAUGAUUAAUCAUAAUCCAGAGCCUACAAAGUGACUCCAAUAAAUAAACACAGAAAGUAAAGAAACGGCAGUGGGAUACAAACUAAAAGAUCUUGAUAACAACCAAUCCACCCAAACCGAGGAUUCCAAAACAAGCAGCUGUACCUGAAUAAUGCCCUUAAUUCGCCAAACUCCACGAGUAUGAACAACAAUGUGUGCAUCAUCCGGAUGAAGUGCCUCAAUCUCCUUCCUCACCUCCUCGAUGCCAACAUUAUGAUCAGUGGACAAACGUUCUGCCACCACGGUAGACGAAUUACUUUCAGGGCAACCUAUUACUCUCUUACCUAGCACAGCCCUCGAGUCACCAACGUUUGCCACAUAUAAAACACCAUUUGCUAUUGCUCCAACAAGACAACAUGAGCCUACUGACGCGAUCUGUGGCUGAGACAACCAUGAACUCUUCACGAAAUGCAAAAAUUCCUCCUCAAUAGCAUUAAAUGCCUUCUUUAUCACCUCCUCAGACAAACCUCCUUGUUCCAGUGCAAACUCUAUUAUUGCAAAAUCAAUUAAUUAACAACGACAUUCACCCGUUCCGACAACUUGCCAAAAACGUGAUAAAAAUUAAGAAAUAAUCAAAGCUUUCAUCUUUCCAAUUUCGUAUCAUAGAUGACAAACAAUAAAUGCAUUUUCGAGGUAAGUUGUCUUUCCUCCAUCCUUUCCUUUAUCAAUCAAAUCAUACAAAUGAGUAGCCAUAUGCACUCAUAACUCCGAAACUUCAAACAAACUUCUAUGACAUCCCACAACAUUUCUGAACCACAAAGAAUCAAAAUUAUUAUUAUUUUUUUUUAGAAAUCACGUUAAUGAUGAGAAUCAUUCUGCCAGCAAUAUCCCAUAGUGAAUGAAAUACCAAAUCGAAGGGAAAUUUUUUUAUAAAAAAAAAAAAAUGAAAGAAAGAAAAAAAAAAAAAGACGUAAAGGGUUAUAAGGAAAUUACUCUGGAGGAAAGGAAAAAGGCGGUUAGUGAUGAAGCGGGAAGCUUGAGGGCCGCCAUGGCCAUCAUAAACGCCAAUAUAAGUAGCAGAAGGAGAUGUGAAAACUUGACCCUGGUCUUCCAAUGAAGAAUUAGCUUGUACAACUGCUAUGGAAUAGUCACCAGAGGCAUGUGGCUUCAAGUCCAUGUGCCACAACAGCCCAUCACCGCCGCGUCCGCCACCUAAACAGCUCUCCCACGGUCUGUAACAAGCCCCCAACAUCUCCCUCCGCCUUACCGCCGCCUACUUGCCGAAUUCCGAUGAUCAAGCAUAGAAAUGAAGAACUAAUCUGUGUUUGAAACAAACAACUAAUUUUUUCCAGUUUUACUUUAAAAUGUAUGCUCCAAAGGCAAGGCCAGAGUCCAGAGUCCAGAGUCCAGAGUCAAGUCUUUGCCGUAAGCAGAAGUAGUUGGAUGGUGUUGAGGCGGGGCGUUUUGGUCAGUGAGGAGGAAGUCAUGGAAUAUGCAUUUAGUUAGCACUUAGUAGUAUUAAAAGUUGUACACUGACUGCUAUAGUAAUCUUAUUCUGCUAUCACCGAGAACCUUGUUUGGCAUAAUGAAAAUUAUUUUCGUCAACGGAUUUGAAAACAUUGGCAAAAUAGAAUUAUGAUCAGCGAAGGAAGCAAGUUGAGGAAUUAUAUAAUGAAAACUCAUAUAUUUAUUUAACUAGAAAAGGUCGCGUCUCACUGAUUUGUGUACUGUCCGGCCCUCCCAAGUCCCAACCACUCUUUUUCUCGUCCCAUUUCUUUUCUAUCCAAAAAUAGCCUUUUUUAAGUUUGAAGAAGAAAACAGACAUAAUGCCAAACCAAUCUUUCAAGUUUGGCUGUUGAAGGAAGGGGCAAAAGUGAAUAUGGAAACCGUGUGGGAAUUCCGCGUUUAAGUGAGUGGAAAAUGGAAUAUCCCCAGCCCCCACUCCCAGCCCCAGGGUGGUGGAAAAUAUGCACAGUCAAGAAUGAGUAAAAAAACUGAUUAAAGAUUGGAUCGGAGGCCGGGGAUGGGCAUUUGGGAACGGGAAAGAGUCAAGGAAAAUUGGUUCAAAGUAAAACGAUCAGAUGCUGCUGCGUUGACGUGGACGUGGACGUGGAGCGAGAAAAGUUAUCCCAUACGUUAUUGCCGUCGUCGUCGACUUCAUGAAGCUGAAUUGCUCCCAAUCGCAAUUGCACCAUCUAGCUUCUGAUCCAGGAACAUUCUACUGAAUUUUACGUUGUAGCCACUAAUUUUUUUUUUUUUUGAUAAUUUCAGGCUAACAUAAAUAAAUCAGCUUUUAGCAAGUUGAAACAAUUUCUGAUAUCCCAUUCAAUUCAUGUCAUGGAUAUGGAAGUUUUUUUUUUUUUUUUUUUUCACGCGCUUUUUGCAUCCAAUUACUAAGUAUAGGGCUCAAAUCCUGAAUCCGGCGGCAACAAGAGAGACUUCUUCUCCUGACUAUCAGGCCAACCCAAUAUAGUUUGAGAGCCUUUAAGCAACAAGAACCAAAUAUAGAAGCUUUUAUUGGCAGGCUUCAGAGAGUAGUGAUUGCGAGCCUACUUCCCGAUUGUUUGCAAUUAUGAAGGUUUUCCCAAUUGUAGUGAUUGCAGUUUUUCAGAAGUUUUCCAACCAUGUGUUCCUGAUUGUUCUAUGUAUCCUUCUCAUUGAAGAAGUGUUGCAUUAAUAUCUCCUUGAAACAUUCCAAAACGCAAUUUUGAGAAUGAAAUGCUUUUCUAACUUAUAAAUUGGGGAAAAGAAAAAAGUUGACAGACAAAUGGUUAUGAAAAUUACACGAUAAUAAUCUUCAAAAUCAGAUGCCAAAAGUACGUUGAAAAACCAGGAGAGACACAAGAUGAUGGUACUCGGAGGGAUAUGCACGCACGGUCAGACAAUUUUUUUUUUUCUUCCCCCCAAUGGUAAGUUCUGACUUCUACUUUACCACCCAUUGAAUUUGGGCAUGAACAGUUGAACAUAUCACGGACUCGAUUGGUCAAGAAAAAAAUUGUACGGCCCAAAUUACAAGUCAUACAUCAAUUCUAACACGUGCGUGACUCACAAAAAAAAAAAACAACUAAAUAUAUAUUGUGUUCAAAUUUAUGUACAUUUUGAUCAAAUGCAUGAAACCGUUCAGGAUGGUUUCACUAUAAAUAGUUUCAGUUCAAAUCUCUACCUGUUUGGCCGGGACUUUUUUUUUUUUUUUUUCUUUCUGACAUUUUCUUACGAAAGUAAAAAUUUUCGACAAAUAAAUCUAACUCCCCAUAGUAAUUCCAAAAACCUGUUUGGCCGGGACUUACUUAACUUCUUUUUAGUAAAAUUCUCUCUCCAUUUUUACUAUAAAAUAUUAGUUUGCUACAAGGAAUGUCGAUAGCAAUAAAAUAUCAACUACCGAGGUUUUUUUUUUAAUGCUUGAUUAUGAUUUUUUUUUUUUUAAGCAAUGAGGUUAUCAACACUUAGCUGUAUGGAUAUCCUGCCAACAAAACUUUUAAAGUUCUAUGUUGGUCAUACACGGUUGCUAAAUAUCUCGUGGCCCGUAGAAAACACGUUACCUUGCGGUACAAAUGUUGGCCCAAUGCUUAAGUUGAUGGAUGAAGAAAUGUGGAGCAAAAAUGCUUCUUCACCCUCGCAGCGAAGUUUAACCUUUACUUUUUUUUUGGCCCAAUAGUUUUUUUUUUUUUUUUCUUUUCUUUUGUCACGAUUCUGUAGCCUCACCGGUUAUUUGCGCCGUCCGGGUAUUUUUCACUGUAACAUUUAUGAUUGCUCUUCCAGAAACGAGCCAGCGAGUUUGGGUGGGUCACUAAGUCACUAACUACUACAAUAGAAAAACGCCAUCUAUGACCUAACUGCCAGACGCUGGACGUUACAGCGACUGCAUUAACCCCCCGUACCAGAGGGACUAAGAUUGUGUAGCCUGCCGUACUCCUUACUUAACAACCUAGAAAUCUUUGGACCAAAUCUCCGCCCGUCGCUUUUCACACACACUAAUGAAUCAAUCAAUCAAUCAACUAUGGGGAUGGAAUCAUACGCUUUUGAAAACAAUUGGAUAAUAGUCGGGUUUCUUAUUUGAAAUUUAAAAAAUUUGUUUGAAGAUGGAAAUGACUUUGACCUGAAUCUUGCUGACUUUUGAAACUGUGGGUGCGAAGUGCAGAUGCUGCGAUUAGUCAAAUCAAUCACCACGCAACUCCCGUAUUCUCUUAGUUUCAACUUCUCACGAUCUGAAUCUAUCAUGUGGCAUGCAUAGAGUUGAAGGCUGGUAAACAUGAUGAUGGAUUAUUAUCUUACAUAAAUUACGUCAAUAAUAGUUAUAAAGCUACAUAUUGAUGAAAGGAGCAAAUCUAAUAAUUCAACAAAUCUCUCAGAAAUGUCUCAAAACCUUUGGAAGUUGAAUUCUCGAGAGUGAGUUCCAACUCCAAGUGUUUUCCUUCGUCAAUAAAUAUCAAGCUUUUGCGCGACAAUUUUGAGUUCUUCACGUUUCAAGGCAAUUGAGGAGCUUAUUAUACUUUUGAUAGUUUCUUUCAUUUAUUUCAAGUUUAAUUGUCCGCAGCUAUUUCGCAAAUCCUGUGCAUUUUUUUUUUAUUUGGCGUAUUUUAUAGUAAGUAUUUCUAUUUUGCAAUGAAAUGCACCUGCUUUACAGACAUAAUACCGUUGGACGUACCAAAAAUGGUUGUCAUAAAUCGCACUCCAACUAACUACUGCUUCCCAACACCAAAAUCUUUAUGUAAGAAUUCGAUGGAGGAUAAAAAAGUGAUACAGAUACUAAAUGCAAGAAGCCAUCCAAACUAGUGAUCGAAAACAGAAAGAAGCGAACGCAAUACUAACAUGGUAGUACUAGUAUUUUCAUGGCUUUUUUUUUAAAACUAGGAGGCAUAAACCGUGCUACGCACGGUGGGAAAAAUAGAUGGAGAUGCCCAGUCCCGUAAAAUGAUUUGUACUUAAUUAAAAAUGGAUCCAUUAAUGAUAGAGAUAAACCAAAAUUAGAGCAAAAUUUAGUAUAACAAGGGCUCCCCUAAGCCGAUGGAGGUUAACUAUUAAGGAUGGCUGCAUCCUUGAUCAAUAAAAGACAAAGCCUCCUAAGUAUGUAAUCAUGUUAAAAAUAGCAAGUGUUAUUCGCAACAAAAAAUCAGAAUAAUAGAGAAUUUUGUCCAAAUUGCCAUCUCAAGGCUAGGUUGCAUUAUGAUUUAGUUAUAAGAUCCAUCAAUUUUCCAAUGAUGCAGCUACCUAAACUUAUAAACAUCAUCCAGAGUUAGAUUUUGCAAUCUUUUCAUGCUCUCAAAAUAGUGAAAACAUUUAUAUUAAUAUAAAUUUUGGACUAUUAGUGCAGAAAGUAGACCCUAUCCCAAACCUUCGUGAUUCGUAUGAGAACUAAAAUAUACCGAGAGCAGGAAAAAUAUGAGAACUCAAAUAUACUGAGAGCAGGGAAAUCACGAAGGAACGGAUACAAAUUUCAUCUAACAAUAAAAAAUCAGUAAUCACCAUGAUGUGGUGCACUUCUUAGUUUACAUAAUCCGACUAAAGAUAAAUUUUGAAGCUAGAAUAGCAGGAGCAAAAUUUUCUAUGCCUUUCCUCUUGAAGAUAAUAAUUGCAAAAGAAAUUCUAAGAUGGGGAAUAAAUCAACGAGUCCUUGUUUCAUGGAGUCUUCUACAUUGCAUACCUGGGAACUUCCUGUGAGCAAAGAAUGCACAAAUACAAAUUAGCCUUGGAAUGAGUACCAAUUUUGUCAACUAUUUACACACGAGGAGUACGCCCUCACACCCUCCAAAAUCACAAAGAUAAAGUGCCAUUCGUAUAGAUACAAGGCAAAAAAUGGAAUUACAAUAUACAAUAGCAUGACAACCAAUAACGGCUUUUGCCGGGGCUAGCUACUGUCUUUGUGUUCAUUUGUGAAGGAAUGGCAUUUUAAGACACACUGCAGCCAAUUCUUUGAACCGAAUCAACUCCACAAUUAACAUCCAUUUACAUCUAUUUUUAUAUCUGCUUGACUUCCACUCGCAAAUCAAUACGUUGCAGUUGAAUAAAUAGAUCAGUACAAAGAUUGUGAUGAAGCAUUUCAGCUUGUGUUUCAAGUAAUCCAUCACAUGCGUCUCAAUGGAGAGCUCAGACUGGAGUGCUGGACCUUUCAGAGUUUGCCUUGUAGCCACCUCUGUAUCAUGUCCAAUGCUGCUUUUGGCUGAUCCAUAGGAACCAAGUAGUUAGCAUUGUGUACUUUGAGAAAGAUCAAUGGUCCAUACUUUUUUUGUAAUUUUGCCUCCAAACCGUCUACUGUAAAUGGAACAGUAGGAGCUGCUUAGUAAUUCUCCUGUCCUGACCAUUUCACAGCCUCAACCCAUCUAUGAGGUAGAGUAAACAACCUCGAAUUAAAAAGAGACAAAAGCAAGAGUAUACAGCUAGUCAACAAGUAGAAGUUUGUCAUUUAGAAAAAAAACUUCUUUAGCAUUUGCGCACCACUUCUUUAGCCUUCAUAAAGCAAUGACUAAAUCCAACAAGUUCGUUUUCAUGAAACCUACUCCCAAGUCUGAAUCCCAACAAACCAAAAGACCGAACAUUAAUAUUCAAUGAAUCAUCCAAAUAGACGUCAUGUAGACUUGUGCAUAAACCUUAAAAUUGAGCUAGGCAUUUUAAGAAUUUAGGAGGAUAUACCUCAGAUCUGUACUCUGCAUCUUCUUGUAAUUAUUCCAGUAGGGCAAUGUUAGAGCAGCAUCCCUCACAGCUUUUCUCAUCUGAAUAUAUGGAAAGGGGAAAAAUAUCAAUUAUAUAUUUUUUAAUAACUAAUGGAGACUUACAAUUGAGGAUAAAGAGGCACAUUAGCCAGAUGGAUAGUUUAAAAGAAGGAAACGAAUAUAAAAAUGCAGACAAAAAGAACCAGUCAAGAAUAUAUGGAGCAAGUACUCUAAUGAAUCCAAAUUCAUAUCAACAUAGCCUAACGGAGAACAAAAUAAAUUAGCCUAUUUACAACUCUAAUAUGCCGUAAACCUCUAGCCAGGAAGCUGCACCCUUUUUCCAAAAAAAUCACUAUACAUCCCUGUAAUAAACCCAACCAGAAACAAAAGGAAACCUGAAGAAAUAUUCAAAUCAAGGGAAAAAUUAAGAGAAGAUUGCUCAUGAAUGGACACAUUUAUUCAGAAACAUGUAUAGAGUGCACUUAAGUGCAGUUUACAAGUUUUACAAUCAUCAAUCUAACUAAAACGGAGCCCAAGGAAAUAAAAAGAUAAGAACACAUACAUAAAAAGUUAGCAAACUUACACAGUGAAGGAGAAUGUAGCACAACGAAAGCACCAAAAAGUUCCCUAAGAAAAAGCAUACGAAAAAAAAACAAGCAAAUUCAACAAUAAGCAUAAAACCAAUCUAAAUAUUCCAUAAGAAGAGAAAAAGCAAGCCAUUAAAAAAUUGCAAAAAAUGCUCACUGAAAAAAGCAGCAACAGUACGGAGAAUAGCAAAGAUAAAGCAGAAAUAGAUGAGUUUAGUUAUAUUCAGGCCUAAUAAAAAGAAAGGGAUAAAAACAAGCAAACUUAACAAUAAGCAUAAUACCAAUGUAAAUAUGCCACAAGAAGAGAAAAAGCACGCCAUUAAAAAAUUCUAAAAAAUGCUCACUGUAAGGAACAACAACAGCAUGGAGAACAACAUAGAUAAAGCAGAAAUAGAUGAUUUUAGUUAUACCAGGGCUAAUAAAAAAGAAAGGGAAAAAAAGCUGACGAUAGAAAGUGCUGGAAAACAAUAAAAUUUUGAACAGAUCUGCAAUGUAUCAGGGGGAAAAAGACGAUUGCUUGAAACCACCACCAUUAGUCCAGCGAGGCCGAAAGCAUACUGGAAAACAAAGUUCUUGGAAUAGAUCGGCAAGUGCUUGGAAAAACAAGGAGUUUGUUUUUUUCGGGGUAAGAAUGUUUUUUUUUGUUUCUUAUUGGAAUAAAAAAGCUUGUUUGAGACCACAUUUAAGAGAAAAUGAGAAAGUUGGUGGCCUUCACAAGCCAACGAGAAAAGCAAAAUCAAAGGAAAAGAGGAAAAUCACCAAGCUUUAAAAAGAAAACGGGUUCAACUGAAUGGAGUUGGCAGAAGAAAGCUGAAAUUAACCUAUUGCUAAUGAAAAUGAUGGAGACUAAGCAAAAAUUAGGUCCAGGAAUUAAAAAAAAAAAGAAAAAGAAAAGGCAGAGGAGAGGAGGGGCGACGCUGUCUCUGCAAGCAACAGUCCAGAGACUAAAAAAACCACAUCACAAAACACACAACUACACAUGAUCUACAUAGCCUCGAAUCUGCAAGAGAGAACCAGAAAAAGGGGGAAAAAAUAGCGCAACGCAGGGGGGAAAAAGCGCAAACACCAACGGCAAACUCGUGUAGAUCAGAUAACGGAAAAGCCAAACAAAAAAUACAACGCAACGCUGAGCAAAAAAAGGAAAAAAAAGGGAAAAAAAACAACGCAACAAAAAAGGCAAGAUCGAUGCUCACCGGGGAGGAAAAACACCAGAGGAGGAAAUAGAGAAAAGUGACAUCGAAGAAAACAUACCGGUGUAGAAGGCGAAGUGGCGACGGUGGUUAUUGCUGGCAGUACCAGUUUUGAGAGAUCUGAGGAGCGGCGGCCGAGGAGAAGAAAACCGUCAUCUGUUCAAGAAAGAGAGGAAAAAAGAAUAAAAAGGAGAGAAAACUCACCGGAAAGGAAUUUUAUGUUGAAAAUAGAAAAUGUACAAUGGCAGAGGAGGAGCGUACCUAACCGGAAAGGAAGAGGCAGAAAAGGUACAAUGGAGGAGAAGGAGGCGCCGUGAACAGACGGCAGCUUAUCUGGACCACUGCAACACAAAGAAAGCGAGAGACAGAGGAUGCAUGGCCGCUUCGCAGUUCGAAAUGGGAAUCAAAGAACAAAAAUAAAAAAAUAUCAGUUUAAACUCACAGAGUAAGCUCACAGUGAAUCAUACACUUCACCGGAAGUAAAAAAAAAAAGAGAAGAGAUAAAAAGAAUACAACGGAGAAAAAGGAGGAGGACAGAGACCGAAAUAGAGCAAAUAGAACAAUAGCGUCAAGAAGAAGGAGAGAGAGAAGUUAGGCGAAAGGAGAGGCAUUGGAUUUUGCCAGAUAGAGAAACACAGCAGAAAAAGCAGCAGGAGACACAUGGGUUACUGACAGAAAAAAAAAGAAAGAAGAGAAGGGGCCAACAGAGCUGAACCCGCGGCGCCAUGCGCGAACAACACAAUGCUGCUAACCCACAUGCGCGGCACGUGAGAGGACGACGAAAACUCCAGGUCACCACAGCCCUUCGCUCUUUAUCUACUGAUGUAAAAAAAAAAAGAGAAGAGAUAAAAAGAAUACAACGGAGAAAAAGGAGGAGGACAGAGACCGAAACAGAGCAAAUAGAACAAUAGAGCCAAGAAGAAGGAGAGAGAGAAGUUAGGCAAAAGGAGAGGCAUUGGAUUCUGCCAGAUAGAGAAACACAGCAGAAAACGCAGCAGGAGACACAUGGGUUACUGACAGAAAAAAAAAGAAAGAAGAGAAGGGGCCAACAGAGCUGAACCCGCGGCGCCAUGCGCGAACAACACAAUGUUGCUAACUCACAUGCGCGGCACGUGAGAGGACGACGAAAACUCCAGGUCACCACAGCCCUUCGCUCUUUAUCUACUUAUGUUGAAAAUAAUAAUAAUAAUUUGGUGGGCUCAAUUGGAUAGGGUCAGUUGGCGAAGCCCGACAUGCAAGUCCCUUCUCUCUGAUCACUGUUCAAUUAAAGUUGCAAUCAUGGGCCCCCAUUUCUCCUCCCAGAACAAAAAUAUCUGUUGCCAAUUCCAUUUUCGUCUUCAUGAAUCUUUUUUCAACGGUCCCUCUCGUGGUCUUUUUAAAGUUCUUGAAAUGCCAUUUUCACACGCCAGGGAUGAAAAAAAAGCAUCACGCUUUUAAUCAUGACCGCCACCACCAUUAACCAUUCUCCCACCCUCCCUCUCUCCCUCUGCCACCGCCCCACCCAUCACGGCUUCAAUCAUUUAUUCACCCAAUUUUUUUUUUUUUAAAAAAAAACAAAAUUCUGCAUAAAGCUAACCAUAACUUAAUCACCUUAACUCCCCCAAAGUUUUACCUUUGAGUGGUUCCAGAUUUCAAAUUAGUAAAACAAUAAUAAUAUGUAAUCAACUUAGUCAAAGUUAAUCAAAUCAGACUAAAGCAACCUAAUACCAGCCCAACAAAAAGUUACUGCACUGGAAUGUAAUAGAAAACAAAUCCUGUGGCCUUAAACAAAUGACCCCAAAAAAAAAAAAAAAGGAAAAGGCUAAUUAGACAAAGCAUGCGCGCUGGCAGACCAGCAUUCUUGAUUCUAUGCUUCAUCAACUACAGCAGCAGCUUCUAGCGAAAGCUGCUUUAACCAUUCAAACGUACGAUGACGUGACAAGGCCUGCUUUCCUGUUUGUUGCUGAUCAUGCUGCCUUGUCGUCCUCGUCAGACUCUCCGUCUCUUCUUCUUUUGCAUGGGCCUCGCUUACACUAGCACUUCUCCUCAUGCCAUUCUCCGCAACCCUCGAAGGAAUUGGUCCAGCCACUGCAUUUGACGAACAUUUGCAGCCGCUGAAGAACACAACCCCCUUUUUAUCGAGGAAUUUGUGCCUCUUUUUGAUCCUGUCCUUUUCCUCAGCUUUGAUUCUGCCGGCGCUACCGCUGCUAAUGGUACUGCUUGUGCUAUUGCGACUGCCGAAACCGGCGUUCUUACUGUUGUUUCGAAAUUUGAGGUCUUGAAUUGCAAUCUCUGGAGUUGUCACCAACCCGACCCGGAAAAUGCUCCACAGUGUCGAAUUUCGGCUGGAAUUCAUCCCAUUCUUGAUGCUAUUUGAGGAACGAAUUUGGGGUUUGGGACUGGGGUGGGAAAAUUGGAAGUGGUUACGAGUUUUGGGUCUAGGCUUGCGAUUAAUGCACGAGGAGCCCGUCCCCGUUGUGGUGGAGGUGGAACUAGUAGUGCCGCUGCUCGAGGAAUGGUGACUAUUUAAACUGCUACUUCUGCUGCUCAGACUCGUGAAGCCAACUGAAUAACAACGAUCCAUGGACUCGGACCUGCUCGUUGUCCGGCUGUCGUUUUGCAAUUUGGUGAUCAAGCCGCUUUCGGAACUGACCGAGUGGCGCAGAGGAAGAAUUUGGCCCUGGAAAAAGACUUCAUCAGCUACACACAUUUCUGAUUCUUUCGACAGAGAAUCCGUGGCCAAGGAGGAGCAGAAAUUGAAUUCCUCUUGAGAGUCGUGAAUGAUGAUGGGUACUGGAGAUUCUUUUCUUGAUACUAAGAACUGAUUCUCUUCAUUGGUGGGAAGGUCAGAAAAAGACAAUGCUUCUUCAUCUUCCUCUUCUCUUUCCACGACAUGACUACUGCCAACGGGAUUGGAAUGUCUCCUCGUUUCAUCAGCAUCGGCGUCGUUUCCAGCCAUCUCCAAAUUUGAACAAAGUCAGCGGCUAAUUGUCUGUUAAUUCCUCUCCAGUCCUCCGUUGAGAUGCAAAUUAAAGAUGAAGGGGAAGAGGACCGAGUGGAGGUAAGAAGGAAGAGAGAACUGAAAUACUCCACUACUGGUCUAAAACAACAUGAGUGGAGCAGGGGAACAAAUUUAUGUAAUGUUUUCUUGUUUGGAGGAGAGGAGAAGGGAGAGAAAAGUGUUGUUAGCGAAGGAUACAAAUAGAGGCGGCCUUUUUUCGGGAGCGUGGCUUGGUUCCUUUGCUGUCUCUUCGCUUUCAAAUGAUUAGGUGAGAGAACAACAGCAUCUGCGUUUUCAUUCGGUCUUGUCUUUGUAAGAAUUAGCACGCUAGAUGGAUGGUUGCAGUGACAUAUUAAAAACGUACAAAAUUUUGAGAGAUUUCCAAGUGAGGGUGGAAUUUAAAUCAUUGAAGCAAAAGUAAAGAGAGAUAAUCAAAUUUAGAUAGGCUGUCAAUUCCAGAUUUUGUUGGGUAUUUGUCCCAUUUGAGCGGGAGAGGGGCAGAAACAUCUACUCCAUGAAUGCUAAUAACAUACCAUAGUACUAAUAUCUUUUCUUCAUUUGUUUUUUCCUCGGCCUACCCAAACCAAAUGUUGCUUGAUCCGCAUCGUGCUUAGAAAAUCUCAUCCAUUUAUUGGUGCGUAGGUAAGAGAAUGAGAAUAAUUAGUGUGUUUGGACAGCCAAUUAUUUGGCCAAAUAUAUUUGCUGACAUCACCAUUACAAUUUUCAAUACACCUUUUUAUCUUCCCAAUUACCUUUUUAUCUCACAUACAUCACAUCACAAAAAGUGCUACAGUAAAAAUAUUUCAAAUAACUUACAAUCCAAACACACUCAAUAUUUCAUUCUACAAACCGCCUGCAAUUGUAUGAAAGGUCUCGAGUCGGCUGCUUUUAAUUAAAGAGACGGGAGUUUUGUGGUACUCGAAUAUUUUUUUUUUUUGGCUGGGACUUUUUGAAUUUUAUUUCAUGGGAAGCCUGUGAGUGACAACGUGACCUAGGCCAUUACUUUAUAACUUUCCUUGUUUAUCAUUGCCCAGAUCUCAGGCAAGAAUUAUUCUAGAGGUAAAACAAUAAUCAGGCCGCUUGGGGGGUUGGGGAACCUUCCUUCCGUUGAUUUUUUUUUAUCAAUAUCUGGUAAAGAAUCAAGGGGAAUAUAUGAUGAGCUAUUCUGCAUAACAUUCAUGCCGGAUUUCCUGUCUAUCUAUAGUAGAGGUGGCAAAUCAACCCACUUAACUAAAUUUACCCAUACCCGCCCAUGAAUAGAUGGGUAUGGGUAUCUUAAAUUUUUGUAUAUGGGUAUAAAUGGAUUACCCAAUAAUAAAUGGGUAUUAUUGGAUAACCCAUCAAACCCAAUUAACCCAUUUAGAAUUCUCUUCUCCCCAAGUCUCUUUUUUUCCCCCACCUUUUUUUUCAAAUUUUUUAUUUUGUUAUGAUGUUAACUACUUUUGUUUUAUUAUUAUUAUUAUUAUUAUUAUUAUUAUUAUUUGUUGGUUUUAUCUUAUUAUUUUAUUUUAUCUUAGUUUGUUAACUUGCUCAUUUUUUAGCAUUACCAAUUUAUGAUAAAUUUUAGCCUAUUUUCUUAUCUUUAUAAAAUGAAAUUUUAAAUUUAUAUAUGAAAAAAAUGUUAGGGGUUCAAAAUUUUUGGAUUAAGUUUUUAUAUUAAUUUUUAUAGUACUUAGUUCAAAUUUUUAUAUUCUUAUUAUUCAAUUAUUAAAUAAUAGGUAAUUUUGUGACAUAGAGUAUAAAUGAACAAAAAUUGAUAAUUAAGUUUAUUGAACAUUAUAAGUAAAUAUUUAAAACUAAUAAUGGGUACAAAGAGUGGUAUAAAUUGAUAAUUUAGUUUGCAAAAAUGAAUUUAAAUGAGUUUACAAAAAGUUAAAAUAAAUGGGUUAUAAAUGGGUAAUUGGAUUACCCAAUUCAUUUUUUGACUUACCCAUUUAUACCCAUCUAAUUAAAUGGGUAUAAAUGAGUUGAGUCACUUAUACCCAUUACCUAUUUUACCCAACCCAAAUCCGUCCAAAUCACCCAUUUUGACACUUUUAAUCUAUAGUACGCAGAACUGUAUGGGGAGGGAAGCUUAAAGUCUAGCAUCAAGAACCCUCGAGAAGUCGCAAAUUUUCUUAAAGGAAGGUAAGAGCCCGAUUGAUUGAAUCGUGAGCUUUUGUAUAAAAACUUUGAAAUGUACUAUUUUGAGACAUUUCAAGUCUAUUUUUUUUCCUAAUAAAAACUCCGACCACUUACUUACAAUAAUAUUCAAUAUAUGCUCCAAGUUUGGAUCAUGUAGUACCAAUUGAACUUUGAGAAGAGGCAACAAAGAAUUGAUCGUUCGCUGUUUUGCAUCAAUUAAAAGUGUCUCCUCAUAAAUUCCUUCUCUUCACAUGUAAAUUAACCACAACUUCAUGAUUAACCGGACAUUGGUAGGUAUUCGCUUCAUCUUCGCAUGGGAUCCUCAGUGUCACUUUUUUAUUGAUAAUUUAGUGCCACUUUUAUAUAUGUCACUUUUCAUGAUUAACUUGUCAUAUGUUGUUUAUUUAAAUUUUUUCUAUCAUUACGUGGUAAAUGAGAUUCACGCUGAAUUUGAUGUAAAUGCAAUGUGAGGCUGGCUAUAAAUUAUCCCUAACUUGGUUGGGGUAAUGCUCUCAUUUUACAACGACGUGACCCCUGACGCAGACCAAAAAGAGAAAAGCCAGAGAGGGCACUCACUACCAUUUUUAAAGAGACACACCAGAAAAUGUACUGCGGAUGCGUGAUCCAUAGAAUGCCACCAAGUCUAAGUAUUGAACUCACAUGAUUCCUGGGGCAUGGCGGUGGGCCUGGGCCAAUAGAUUUCUUGCUGAUUCAAGUCGUGAUCCACCCAGUUGUCUUGUCAUCCACGGUCCUUGAAGAAAAUCAAUACCAUUUCCUCUUUUUUGAUUGUCUUUCCCUUCUCAGGAGAAAGUAUCGCAAAUCUGCUACUGAAAUAGGAGCGGUAGAACGAACGAACGAAACUCUGAUAUACACAAAAAGGAUUGAGAUCGAGAGCUUGCGUUGCGUUCCACUCGGAGGCGCGCUCAACGCUCACCUCUCAUUGUGCCCUUCUAUUCUAUGGAGCCACCCCACCCCCUCUAAUAAUAAUCCGUCUUUGAGAUAAGAAAGAUUGCCAUCUUUAUUUCCGUUUUUGUGUCUCAUGCUGUCAACAUUUUAAGCAGUAAAAAGUAAUGCAUGGAUUUUAAAAAGUUAAAGUGGAGUAAUUGUCACCCUUCUUUUUUACUAUUAACUUUUAAUUAGUCCUUUCAAUUGUAUGUUGCAGCCUUCUAAAUUGACAAUAAUACUCCUAAUGCCCUACACGUCAUCUUCAUUUAUCCUCUCAAUCGUGAAUUGAAGCGAGAGCAUCUUGAAUUAAUUAAUUAACGUUAUUUUUUACUUAAUAACGCGGCAGCAAAGAGAAUUCAGGACUUAAGAAACCAGUGUUGAGAAAAAUUCUGCUAAUAAAGGAGAAAGGUCCAACUCCAACUAGACUAAGGGACGGCGUGGCGGUUGACGACAUUAAUGGUGGAAAAAAGCUGAGCAGCAGGGGGUAUAGCAUCCCCGGUGGCGGUAGGAGCAUCAACGGAAGCAGAAGCACCGCGACCAGGUUGGGGUGGGAGGUGUCCCUGGGUCCCAUAUCCUUGCUGCUUGUAAUCCUCCAAGUCCUUGUACUGCGUGUAGGGACUAGUAUUCACUGGCCCUCCCUUCUCUUCCUUGCCUUUUCUCUCCAUUUUGCCCUCCACCUUUAUUAUUACCACUUCUAUUUGCCCCCAAAAAAAAAAAUUUACUUUUUUUCUGUCGAAUUUUUCAGGGCUUCAAAUUGAUAUAGCUGAUCACUAGGUGGAUUGCUCUUUGAUUGAUUUUUGUGAAUUCGAGAAAUUCGUAUUAUAUGGCUUCUCUAUUUCGGCCUGCCGUUGCCACGAGUCAUUGACGUGUUAGGUGUUGAGGAAAGGGAGGCUAGAGUCACGUUGAGCCGCCAAUUCCACCGGGGGGAAUGCUUCUUGGUCUCUGCAUCUGCACUAAUCCCGAGCUUUUGGUUUGGACAUUAACCAAAUUUUGGGGGCUCACAGCCCUUUGUGCAGGUACUGAAUCGCACUUGUACGGAUUUCUGUCUUUGGCCCAAAUAUUCAGAGAGAGGUAUCUGCGGCUGUUUCAGGGUUUCGUCCUUAUCAUUUUGGGCCCUGUUAAUUCCUGUUUGGAAUAAUAUACCAAAAUCCAACCCAAAAAAAAAAACGUAGAAUACACAGAACAAGUGGGAAAUGACAGCCAAGCCAUUUUAAAUGCUCGAAAAUUUCUCCUGCAAUGCUACAAUUAUUAUUGCAUUAUUCUAGUACGUCUUUUUGCUCCGUAAAAGAUAAAAUGCAAUAAAGAGGAACAGCAUAGAUCCCAUGAAUUAAAUUUGUUGAAUUCGUUUCAAAGGAGGGAAAAGCACUGAGGAGCGGGCUCAAUUCUUUAUUGACAUUAUUAUUAUGCCAGCUUCAGCCCUCAUCGUUUUGUUUCUUUCUCCUUCGUGCCCGGUAAAAGCCAAGAUUCAAGUUUCGAUCAAGUCACCAUGAUCGUGAUCCUUUUGUUUUUAUGAUCAUCCUUCGUGCUAGUGCAUACUCUUAUCUGCUUCCAUAUAAAAAUAGACCAGUGCCUAAUUACUAGUUCUACUUCUGCAACUAAGUAAUUACUAGUAAUUAGUGUGCCGUGACCCCAUGAACCCCAUCCAAUAAUCGUGUGGUGGUAAUCGCAUCCACAAUUUCGGAUGAUGAAGUCCCUUUCGGCUUUCGAUUUUGAAAAUUAUAUCGCACCAGAAUCCAAAAUGAAUCUUCCAAACCAAUAUCUACCAUCCAAUCAAAUUGUUACAAUAUCUUUUUCAAGUUCAUGCAGUUCCAGACCUCCAAUGUCAACAUACACACUGCUGUCAUGUUAUUUUCCUUGACGUCGUUUUAAGAUUUGUGAAAAUAUUGGAAUCAAAGGCAUGUACAGUUUAGCAGACAAACGGAAUGAUAGAUGCAGACUUUCAAGAAAUUCUCUGUUUGGAUUGAGUGUGUUAUUUGAAAUAAUUACUGUAUUACUUUUUAUAAUGUGAUGUAUGUGAGAUAAAAAGAUGAAUUAAAAAAUAUGUCUAUAAUGCAAGUAAAAUAUUAUUUAAAAAAAGGGGUAUCCAAACAAUUCAUUGAUCGAUAAACGUUGAAGUGAAAAAAAAAAAAAAAAAAAAAACAACUGUACACCUUCCUGGUUUAUACUUUUUUUUUCCUGUUUUAUACUUAUGAUGCAAAGUUUUCUACCUCCAGCAGAACAACACCAAAUCAAACUGUAAUAAAUGCGCAAAACAUAGAAGGGAAUUUAUAAUCAUAACUUAAAAGAAACUAGUAAAACCAACUAGGCUCACAGCCCCUUUGAGCAAAGCCCAGCAAUUCACCAUUCAUGUAACCUGUCCUGUCCUCUUUUCAGUCUCUAGCUAGCCUAUAUCCAGCUAAUGACCACAGGGCUCCCCACAACAUGCUUCCCAUCUGACCACUCUAUUCUACCAAACUCGUUAGUAUUAGAUGGCAUUGAAGUUGCACUGAACGUCACCGUAUACGACUUCUUCUCGUAUGCUUUUGUGAAAGUUAAUGUAUCGGGUUCCACCGUAAUCUUAACUGCUGGACUUGUCGUCGAGAUUGAAACCUUGUACGUACUUCCUCCGGAGCCUCCCCCAACGUUGGUAAGCGUCCUCGUGUACUUAACUACGCUCUUGCUUCCGCCGCCGCUGCGGGAACCACCGCCCCCCCCAAUCACUUGAGUCUGCAGCGACACCGAAAAUGAAGGGUAGUUGAAAUCCCCGAUGCUGUAGGUUUUAUCGGCAUCACAGCUGUAAUUUCGCCUGGCGACCCCUUGAAUUUGCAGGGACGUGUAAUUUAAUGCGCAUAGGAAAUUGAGAUAAUCGUCGGUGGUCAGGUCAUAGACGAGUCCCGGGUUGAGGGCUGCGACGGGGUCCACAUGCCCUGCUCCAUGAUCGUACGGUGUCGAUGCCUUUCCGGUGGAGACAUCUAUGAGCUUCUCACCGCCGUUUUUGUAAGCGGUGUAGGCCGUGGUCAUGAGAGCCGAGCGGAUGGCGGCUGGGCUCCAGUCUGGGUGCGCCCCCUUGACAAACGCCGCCAAGCCGCUCACGUGUGGGCACGACAUUGAGGUGCCGGAGAUUAUGUUGAACUCCACGCGCCUCGGGUCCUCUGCCAAUCCGGUGGGGCCCACCGCCCCGGUCCACCCUGCUAUUAUAUUCACGCCUGGAGCUAUCAGGUCCGGCUUCAAGAUCUCGGGUGUGAUUGCAUUUGGUCCCCUCGAGCUAAAAGCAGCUACCACCGGCGACGGUUCGAUCCCCACCUUUGUGCCCUCGAAAAGAAUCGUCGCUGUUGGAUUAGCAUCCGACAAUACAUAAUCUCUAAUCGCGUCUCCUGAUUUCUGACCCACUGUGCUGGCCGGGAGCAAAUGGGCAUCCGCCACAAGCUCCUCACCGUUGGCGGCGGUAUUGGCCAAAACCAUCCCGGCCCCACCGGCUCCUUUCACCACAGCACCCUUUUGGACCCUAGGAUUGAUCCCACGGUCGCACAGGACAAUUUUUCCCUUAACUUUCUCAGGGAUUAACGUGCCGGUCAUGCAGAGAUUCCCAUUGGUGGAAUUGCUAGCGUUCCCUGCAUAGACAAAAGGCAGCAGCUUAGCGGGCAACGAGUCACCUUUGUAAAGCGAAACUCCAGAGAAAUUCUUGCCGUUGCCCAGGCUGACAUACGCCGGGAAGUCUCGGUCCAAAGUUCCGGCACCUACGGUGGUAAUCCAGGGUGCCAAGUUGGACAGAGUAUAAGCACUGGGUCCCGCAUUUCCAGCUGAACAGGACACGAAAAUUCCCUUCUCCAUUGCUGAAAAUGCUCCAAUAGCAACACUGUCUCUGUAGUAGUCGGCGGUGCCGCCGCCCAGAGACAAAGACAAGACAUUUACAGAGUCUUCGAUGGCCCUGUCUAUGGCGGCUAAUAUAUCCGAGCUAAAGCAGCCCCCAAUCCAGCAAACUUUGUAUACAGCAACUCUGGCACGAUAGGCCAUCCCACGAGCCGAACCGGAUGCAUAGCCGAAAAGGCUAGCUCCGCCUACGAUUGCUCCAGCAGCCGUGGUGGACGUGUGGGUGCCGUGGCCGUCGUCGUCUCUAGGAGAUUUUGAUUCUUUCGUAACAUCAAUUGGGCCGAGAGUAGCCUCAUAGCCCGUUGAAAAAUACCUCGCUCCAAUCAACUUCUUAUUGCAAUGAUUGGAAGUGAAGUUGGUCCCCGUCUCACAGGCUCCUUUCCAAGAAGCAGGUACGGGCCCCAUCCCGGUGUCAUCGAAGCUCUUGCUUUCGGGCCAGACGCCGGUGUCUAAGACGGCGACGAUGACAUCGCCCUCCGAGUCCGACUCCGGGAACAAGUUAGCACUCUGUUGGAGUCCUAAAAACGAAGGAGUGCGAGUUGUGUGGAGCUCGUACUUAACCUCUGGCAAAACAUAGAGGAUUCCGGGUUGGUCCUGGAGGGAUUUGGCUUCUUGGGCUGUAAGUCUAGUGGCGAACCCGUGAAUCGCGUUGUUGUAAGUGUACAACAUCUCCGCUGAUUCGGAAACCGAUUUCAGCGACGAGUCGUACCAGCGAGUAUGGUCAUCGAAACUCGCUGGCAUUUGGGAUUUCGCCACAUGAACUAUGUAGGUAUUCUUUUUCUGCUGUACAGCGGAUGCUGCCACGGAGACACGGCAGACACCCAGAAACACAAGAAAAGUCACCACUAGAAACAAUCUCGAGAACUUGAGAUCUCCCAUAUUUUCGUUUGUGGGUUGGCAAGAGAAGAAUGGAGGAGGAGGGAUCGAGAGAGUUAUAUAGAGUGGGAAGACCAAAGGGUCGUCUGCUUUUGAACUCAGUGGAGGUGUGAAACUGAAUUCAUGCACAAACAGAGGCUUGAGAAAGAUCAGUGAAGGACAAUUGGUUGAUGAGUGGGGACGGGGGACCUUUGUCUAGUUAUGGAUAUGAUUGCAAAGGACACGCACAAACAAAAACAAAAGGAGAUCAAGCCAGCUACUAGCUAAGGAGCGAGAAUGAAUGAGCGAGCGAGCGAAGAGAAAGGGGAAGGACUGAUAUAAUAGAGUGAUAUCAAAAUGAAUAUAUGAAUUGUUUCAUCAUUUGGGUAAUAUAGUACUUACCAGUUGAGAGAACUAUUGCUUGCUGGAGAGCAGCAGUAGGAGUACAUAUUAUUAGGUGUUGGUCUUUGUCACGUGCGUGCAGGGGUUGUGUUGAUCGAUAAUUGAUGCUCUUUCACUCAUUUAGCCAGUCAGUGGUACUGAUCCUAAAUGGAGCAUUGCUUUCUCCUUUUUUUUUUUUUUAUCUUUAAUAGUGCGCUUUUUCCAAGUCUGUUGCAGAAUGCAGAAGAAAGAGAAGACAGUGGGAGAUAGGUGGAAAAAAUAAAGCAGGUCUUUGAAUUCGCUACUGCGAGCCGUGGGAAAUAAUGCCCACACUCUUCUGUAUUCUGUUUUCCACGCUUUAUUUACUUUCAUUUGACCAUUGCUGCAAACAUUGGGGCCAUAGCCAGUUGCCAGUGGCAGUAGCCCAAUUCAAGAUGAUAAAUUUCUUCACCUACGUCGUCUUCCAUUGGUCUUUUUCUUUUUUCUUUUUUUUUUUUGUCGCUAGCCGACCGAAAAUACAGUAAAAGAAAGCCACUAAAAAUGAUAAAUCAUAAAUAAUAAUCGGUGAAAAUUAAGGUUUGAAUCAUUAAUCUUCUAUCAAUAAUUAAUACUUUUUAAGUCUGGAUAGUGAUCAAUAGACUAAAUGGCUGUGAACGUCUUUCAUUACUCAAUGGAGGUUGUUAUACUACUCUUUUUGUCUUUUCUUGAUUGGUGAAUCAGGGGAUAGAAACAGUAACACUUAAUAAUCCCCGGGGACAGGGGAGGGGAAGAUUCCUAGAUCUCGUUUGAUAAGUGAAUUUUUUAAAUGUUUAUUUAAAAUUUUAAUGUAGUUUAUUGUAAAAAUUGUAGGAAAAUUUUUUUAAGUGUGUAAAUUUUUAAAGUGUAUGAUUUAAAAAUUUUGAAAAGUUUUUUGAGAUUAUUAUAAAUAAAAUUAUUCAAAAAUUUAUAACAGAUAAAUUUGAUCAAAAACUUACUUGCCAAACAUACCCCCGUGUGAAAGAGGCAGCAGUAUACUACAAGGAGAAGGCCAAAUAAUAAGAAGCAAAGCGGGUAAAACUAGUAGAACUACAAUAAAAAAAAAUCUUGAAUAUUACGCCUAGUGGUUCACGGGUUUAUAGAAACUGUUUGUGGUUAUUGUCCACAAGGAUAGACAGAUAGACGGUGGGUGAGAGACGCGUAUGCUUCAACCAACUCAACUCAACUGAUAGAAACUGUGUGAUAAAUCAACUUCCCUGAGUUCCCUCGCCGCUUUGUGUUCGAUUUUAGGGGUCGUGGAUAAAUCAACUUGGGGUUUGUUUGGAUAGAGAUUUAUUAGCUAAAAUUUAUUUACUUACAUCAUCAUUACAAUUUCCAACGCACCUUUUUAUCUUCCCAAUUACCUUUUUAUCUCACAGACAUCACAUCACAAAAAGUGCUACAGUAAAAAUAUCUCAAAUAAUUUACAAUCCAAACAGAGCCUUGGGCUCCAUUUGGUGCAAAAUUCAAUUUUAAUUAAACCCAUCUCAUGCGAACCUCUCAAACAACCAAUCAAGACCAGCUUAAUUAGGUACUCGUGAGUUAAUUGAACUUUUGAAUAUACUUCAUUUUUCAAUAACCGACACGCACGUAUUUUGCUAAAACUAGGUAAAGCAAAAUCGCAAAUUCUACCAUAAUCAAACUCGAGCUUGAUAAGGCACGAUUGCGCAUUCUUGAUUGAGCUAUGCCUGCCAAGCAUAAUCGAAUUGAAAUAAUCAAAUGCAUAAUUUUGAUGCAGAAUUAAUGCGGGUUACAAGAGCUACCCAAUAAAUGAAUAAUUUUCGGCUAAAAUCUAUCUCGAGUCGAUUACUCUCUAAUCAUCUGUAUCUUCUUUCUUCUUAUUAUAGUAGUACUUUAUGAUUUUGUACACGGAAGUGGGGGGGCAACGAAUCAUGUGAACGUUUCUUGGCCAAAAAAGAAAUUUGUUAAAAAUGGUUGAUCUGAAGUAAGGAUGUGUAUCGAAAUCAAAUUCGAUAAUUUGAAAUUUUGAAAAAUUUGGACAUCAGAAAAUUUGAUCAAUUUCAAUUUCGAUUUUACAUAAUCGUAUUCGAAUUCGUAUCGAAUUCAAUUCAAAAUUCAGUAUUAACCAAUUUCAACUAAUUCAAUUUUUGUAUUAUAAUUAUACAUAUUUUUUGCUAAACUAAAUGCUAACUUUUGUAUAAUAUAUGUUUAUAAUUAUAACAUAAUAUACAACUAACUUAAUAAGACUGAUUAUUGUAUUGUUAUAUAGAUGUAUUAUUAUAUAAUAUAAAUUUUAUAUUACAUAUAAUAUAUAUAUAACAUACAAAUUUGAAAUCGAAAUAGUUAUUCAAGUUUUGAUUUCGAAAUUAAAAAUCCAGAUUUGAGAAAAUCAUAACAGAAUUCGAACCAAAUUCAUAUAAUUCGAAAAUAAAAACCCGAUUUCCACUCCAUUUUUCGAUUUACCGAUUUUGAAAUUUUCGAUUUCCUUUACUAUCCCGAAUUUUUUUUUUUUUAAAUGGAGGCUAGAGAGCGCUCCGCCAUCCUCCCCUGAAAUCGCGACGGAUCAGUUUUUUUUUUUUUUUUUUUUUGUGGUUUACGUCCAAUUUAGACCUAUAUAUAAUAUUCCAACAAACUAAAUGAAAGUAUUAAAAGUUCAGCCAAACGAUAAUUGCAGCAUGUACUCUUUUUCCACUCAUCCGUUUAUGGAUUUUGGAGCUCAGGCCAGUGCGACCUUCUGGACGCUCAGAUGGAGAUUAGGGAUGGCGGCUGGGGUGAAUUAAGUGCCUGUGAUAGAGUGGGGUUUUAGCUCGAGUUGAAGUGUGGAGGGCAACUGUGAAUUUGUCCGCCUCGGCACCGUCUCAGGCAAGGGCCGUGGUAGUACUUGAGGGGGCCUCUUCAGAAUUCGAUCUUUAGUCCUUUUGAAUAAAAGGUCUUGGGGAUGCUUUCUGGUACCACGGCCCUAGUCUAAGACGGUGUCGAGGCGGAUAAAUCCACAAUUGACCUCCACAUGAAGAAUACUCUCGAAAAAGAAGAGAUGACUCAUUACCGCCUAUGUGCUCCUGCAUCAUUAAACCCUAUACUUUAUUAUUUAGGCCCAAACUUGGGUAGACACAAUAUUUAAAAAUCCAAUGAUCUAGAUUAUAUUGCAGAGUUUAGUAAGAUAAUGUGAUCCAAUUUGAGCUAUUGAGUUUUGAAAAUUGGAUGCAUCCAAAUAUGAACAUUUUCUUUAAGGUUAACAUUAAGAGCGUUGACAAUUGAGUUUUCUUUUUGUUAAGGAUGAGCAUGACAGUCGUACGAAAGCUUAUAUUUGGAUUGAGAGAUUUCAAAAAUGAUUCGAAAUUCAUCCAAACCCUUCUAGUUGUUUACAUUAAUCAAGAGGUAUUUUGAUUUGUAAAUCACCAAGUAGGCCUCGUUUGGGGCCGCGGUAGUUUAUAAAAAAGCAUUUCAGAUACAACUAAUCUUUGAGAAAAAGUACUUUUUAAGGUGCCAGAAUUUGGCUACUUAAAUUACAAGAAAUUAAUUACCAAACAUCCUUAAAAAUAUUUUUAUUACUUAAAUUUUUUUUUUCUGUAAAUGCACCGUAACUUCAAAUAGGGCCAAAAGUAGUGUUUAAGAUGCAUUUAGAUAAUCAAUGAAUUGUAAACUCAAAUGUUUCUUAAAUAAUUCAAACAAUUAGAGCGAUUUGGAUAGAAUUAAAAUCCUUCAUCAAUUUUUUAACCCGAACGAAGCCUAAUAAAAAAAUUAGAAAAAAGAUUGAUUAGAGAGGGGUGGGAUACAUGGGACCUAGAGGUGAUGAUUACAUAAUUUGAUGCGUGAUGGACAACAGGUAAUCAUAUGUAUAGACUUGAGUUGGAUGAUGAGGACGAGGAGGAGGGAGUGUGAGUGAGGGAUUCGGUGUUGUAGUUCUUCCACCACGACUGACACUUUACACAAUAUGACACUCUACAAACUAUGAAUAGAGUCGUAUAAGCGCGUAUUAAAUCUACACCAGCGUUAUUGCGUGAAGCAGAAGCACUUUUUCCUCGCCCAAUAAAUUAAGCAUGCCACCACGAGGCUCAUGAAAUUAACUCGAUCUUAGUACGCACUUUUACAGUGUAAACCAAUGACACUGUCGUUGUAUGCACCAGACAACAAGUUCGUCUAACGUUUGAAGCGGGAGACACAGCCCACAAGUUGCACAAAUGAGCAAGCCAUCUUUCAAAGUGGAUCUUUGGAAAGCAGGCAAUCAUGCCCAUGCAUCAUUGGAGCCUUUAUAAAGGUUUGUUGGCCCUUUUUUUGCCUUAUAAACGAAGCCUCUUCCUGCUAGUAUUUAAUUUGCUCAUACCAUAGCGCUGACAAUUGGAAUAAAGGUCAUAAAGUCUUAUUAUACGCAGCGGGACUGGCUGUAAAGGAUGCACUCUUAUGGUCAUAAGGCAGUUAUGCCCGGAAUUUUGUUUUUCGCAGUUGGUUAGAACUUAGAACAGAAAGAAAGAGAAAUUCUGAGGUCUACAAACCGCCAACAUGUGAUGGGUGGUCUAAAGCAAGAUUGUUUUGUCUUGCCGGUGACUGAUAUCCUAUACUUUCCUGCCUACUUCCAACCUCCUUGCCCCCCCCCCCCCCCCAUAUAAUAUAUUUCAUUAGCUCUCUCUAGUCUACUUGUAAUGAGCAGACAAAGCAGUCAAUUUCUUUUUAGCUUUAUGGAGCUCUCCCCAACUUAUUGUUGGCCCUGGGAUUUGUCUAAUUUGUUACGGCUAUUUAUUUCUAUUAAAACAAACCUACAAAAGUGAGACCCCCCAAACAAAAAGAAAAAAUUCGUGGAAAAAAAAAUUUACGGAGCACUACUGUAAUUGGUGGGGCAAAACUGUGAGAUAUGAUGAAUCCGAGAGUUCUUCUAAUACAGUAGCCUAGUUUCCAUCACUGACACUAACUUUUCAUUGGCAUUUAUGGAGUAUACAGUAGAGGCACAAUCAUCCGUAGUUGGCAAUCAUGUAUGUAUAUUGGUUUCGUCUUGCAAAGAGCUUCUUAGGAUGCAUAUGAGAGAUUUAACAAACAAAUUAGAAGUCGGAUUUACGAAACUGUUACUUGUACUCCUCCUUUAAGAAAUCUUUUUGCAUCAUUCACAAAGUCGGGUUUAAUCUAUAUGAAUUGAUAUUACUAUAAUAAUCCAGUAGCAAUACAACCUUAAUGAUUUUACAUUUUGCAGAUCCUAGCGCGGUUCAGAAUUCUGAGCUUGAAUUACGCCGUCGUAUCAUUUGAGACCAGUGACGAAGAAGAAAAACAAGCCGGGAGCUGUAACUUUUUUGUUUCUUCAACGAACCAGCAUGUGACGGUGGCCUACUAAUAAUUCAGUUGUGAAAAGGAAAUUCUGCUGCAUUAGCUAGCUGGUGUGCCAUAUGCUCGCCCGCCAAUAAGUCAAUCCUGACAGACCAUCUUUCAACUCAAUGAGGUUGAUUACUGAUUACAUUUGUGUGCGUACCUGCUGCCAAGGAUAGAGAAGUUAUUAAUUGCCUGGCUCCAUGCUCUUUCCAUCACUGCAGCAGCGAUAAUAAUCUGUGAAGCCUAGAUCACCUCAAAUCCAGGGGGGCAAAAAAUAUAUAUACAUGAUAGUUAUAAUCAUGUCUAAGACCACCACUGAUUGAUUGAUCAGAUCAUGACACUGAGAAAGAAAGCUUUGUACGACCUGCAACGCGACAGUGAAGUUUUGGUCAUUCUCCUUUUGUUUAGGGAUUUUAAAUCACCCAAGUCAUUUGGUUAAUUGUCUUGUGAAAGUUACUUCGUGUUGGGCUAAAUUUGAAACCGACUUUUCUAGGAAUGGAGAUGGAAACAUGAAUGCGUAGAUGAUUAAAAAUGCUUCGAUCCUUUAAACUUGUCGUUUAACGCAUAUGCUUUAAUAUAUAUAUGUCUUAUAAUUGGUUGCUCGUGAAUAAUGAAUAGGAAUAUAAUGGAAGGACGGAUUAGUAGCACAUAUAAUAAGGAUACAAACGGGGCCAUCAAAUCCCCCAAGCUGUUUUCUUUUGUUUGUUUUGUUAUUGGGAAUAAUUUGAAAAACCUCCCUUAGGCUAAGUUUGGGAGUUUAGGAUAGAAAAGAGAAGAAGGGAAAACUUAAGUCACGAGAGAAGAGAAGAGAAAAGAAGGGAUUGUUGUGUUGUUUGGGGGUUUUAAGAAUUGGUGGAAUGAUUUUUGGCUAUAAAAGUCAUAAAAUAUUUGUUCAAUACAUUUUUAAGGAUAAAAUAGGUAUUUUAAAAAACUUUCAUAAGGUUCCUCCAACUUUCUCUCCAAUUUAGGAGGAAAACUUUUACUUACUACAGUAUUUAUCCUCUUAAAUCCUUCUAUUUCUCUUCUUUUCUUUCAUAAUAAAAACUAACAAACGAAGGAAAUGUUCACUUUCUCUUUUUUCUCCAAAUCAUCAACUCCCAAACGAGCCCUUAGAGUUUGUGGCAAAAAUAAAAAAAAAAAUAUAUAUAUAUAUAUAAUAAUAUAAUAAUACAAUAGUAAAUAGGAGCACGGGUGACAAGACAGAAGAUCCACUGAUCUAAUAUUUCAUUUCGAGUGAAGGGCGCCACCCCCUCGCUGUAUAUUCAUCAUGGACGUUCGCUAUCUGCCCAUCCGCACCAGAGCACCAGCUUGGCUGGCAAUUAGCUAGGCUCUUGUGCUACAUGAUCCGUAAGGUGGAAAUUGGGAGGUGGGUGGGUCUACUGCGUCUAUUCAAUUUGUAUUUUGCGAAAGACAUUAAGCAAGCAUCCUAUAAUAAUAUAUGAUAAGAAAAGCUUGUUUAAUUGUGUAUGUAUGACUAUGGGAGGACGCCACUUGAAGAAGCACGGAACUUCCCCUAGGAGAGCUGACCUAAUCAGCUCGGGGUGUUGAUGGGAGAGCUGACUUCAAGCCUGCAAGACAGAAAGGAUGAGCUAACUGAGGGGGCCCGAGGGUGGUCCCCGAGGGCACUCCGACGGUCAAGUUAGUUUUCCGGUGAGUGAGUUUCACAGGAAGUAGUAACUGUCCGGAGUAAAUUGUCAAUAGUGAGCGUACCUUGUACAGUGGAUCUGUGUUAUUAUUUAUACCUGCAAGGGAGUCCGGCCUCCGCACGACGCGGGACUUGCCCGGUAUAGAUAACAUCCCGCACAUAGGGGGAUUUCUCCCGACCUCCUCGGGACGGACCUUCGCCUCCCCUGGGAGCCCUAGCCGGUGCGGCCCAGGGCUGCUGCCAGGAGUCUGGGGGCCAAGGCCCAGCUCGGUUCCUCCUGGGCUGCCGCGUGUCCGGGCCCAGAACGGGGCCUCUGCACUAGCCCCCUAGAUUAGGUAGGACUGUCAGGCAGACCUAAUCUAUCUCCGCCACGUGGGAGGCCAGAACCGCGCACUACCCUGCCGAGGUCACCUCUGGUACAGUGCUGUCACAGGGACGCUGCUCCCACGUCCUUUCAGCUGUCCCGUCUCUUCGGUUUUCGUGCCCGCAUUAAAUGCGUUCACAUGGGGGUCGGUUCAAAUUCAUGCAACCGUUUUCCCUCCACUCUUCCCCCUAUAAAUAGGGGAUGCCAAAUACUCAUCUGUCCCAUUUGCCAUUUCCGCCUCUUCUUGUGCAUUUCAAGUUAUCACUCUCCCUGCGCACCCACAUUUCCAUUUUCCAGCAACCUCCGGCGUCCUGUGCCCAGAUUCCGGCGAGCCUUCAGUCCUUCUUCUGCCGUCAUCAGUAAGUCCUUUUUGCGACUCAUCUUCCCUCUUUGCGGUGUCUCUUUUGCCCUCUGCUACCUCCCACUUUUUAUGUCGGAGCAUUCCUCCUCCUCUGUUGCUGUAGUAUCAAUCCGCCGCCGAGCUCCCCGAAUCAUCGUUCUUUCCUCGCCUUCACCCUCAUCUUCGUCACCAUCUUCUCCUCCUCCCCCUUCCCCUUCUUCUGUUUCUAGUCCCAGCUUCCACACCUCAGACCUACUUGAGCCUACCGAUACCAUGAGUUCUCCGUCUGCCCACUCCCCUUCGGCCCAAGCCCUUGAGGAGGCAGCCGAGCUUCACGCGCUCAUCGCGCGGCAGGCUACCUCCACUCCCUCCCCCAGAUCCCCCCAUGAUUCCCCUGGCGGAGCCCAGGAGGGUGCCGGGGAGGAUAGGGACUCAUCGGGUGGGUCCCCUGCUCCCGAGCAGGGGAAUGAUCCUGAAUUCUCCUAUGGCUAUCCCGACCUGCAGGAGGCCACCCUCUCUCCCCAGGAUUUGGCCGAGCUGGUUAGGUCGUACUCCAUCCCUCCAACCUACGAGCCGAGGUUGGCCGGGCCCGACGACCGGGCCUGCCGGCCUCCCCCUGGCUUCGUAGCCAUCUAUAGGGAGCAGCUCAUCGCAGGGCUCCGUCUCCCCAUCCAUCCAGCUCUAACCGAGAUUCUGAACCACUGGGGGCUCAGAAUCACACAGCUCCAUCCUACCUCUAUCAGGAUCAUCACCGGAUUCCUGAUCUACUGCCUUCUCUGCGACAUCCCUUACUCUCUCUCCCUCUUCCGAGCUGCAUUCAUUCUUAAGGCCGCCCUCCCGGGGUGGUACUACUUCUCCCGCCGUGGCCCCCAGACCAAGGGAGGGAAAGGGGCCCAGGAGUUGUUCUUCGGCCUCCGCUCCUCCGUGAAGGAUUGGAAGGAGGAUUUCUUCUUUGUCAGAUCCACACAUUUUCCCCCCAAUGUGUGGAAGGUUGGGGGAGUCAAGGCCGACCCCUACCCGAAGGACCUGGACUACGAGACCCUCGGCCAGCUGUUGGGCUCCAAGGUGAAGCUCGAUGUCACCAGGAUCUCUACUGAGCAGAUCUCCGCAGCCGGGCUGAUGGGGACGUUGUCCGGAUCCUCCGGGGAAGUGGCGACCCCCCAGCCCGAACUCGACACCUGUAACACUGGCUCUGUCCCUGUCUUUAUUCAUAGCGUAUAGAUUUUCCCUUUUCUGCCUUUUACUGUCUUUCGUUUGGCUGACCUGGUGUUCAUUUCAGUGAGAAAGCUCUCCCAGCUGAUGGGCGUACCCCUCGAGGAGGUCACUCCCGACCCCCAGCCUGGAGCUGCUCGGGGGGCCCCAGGUGGGGCUUCCACCCCGGGGGGCGGCUCUGCCCCCCACAAGGAGACAUCACAACCAUCUCCCUCCAAGCAGGCCGCCAGCAAAAAGAAGGCGGCCGGUCAGAAGAGGGGCAGAGGGGACGAGCCCUCUCAGGCUGGGCAGAAGAGGCUCGCCCUGGUCUCCGCACAGCCUCCUCCUCUUGCGCGGGUCUCCGGGGGACCAGUCCACCUGGGCGUGGGCUCUGCCGAGGAGCAGGUCCAGGAGUCGACUCCCCCGAGCUUGUGGCACUUCCGCCACAUAACUCCCCUGAAGCCAGGCCAAGUCCCCACGAUGCAUGACCCCCGCCACUUCUGUCCGUCCUGGAAACUCUCCAUCAACGACCGAGCCCAGUUCCCCGAGGUGGCUCGCGAGCUGAUGGUGGGCUCGGUCCUUCCUAGGGACAGGAAGUGGAUGGAGCUGGCCAGUCCCUCCGAGCUCUUGGAUGCGUACUACACCGCCCAGGCCCAAGUAAGUAUCGCCCAUGGGUUAAUUUCCCCCCCGUGUCUGGGUUAAGUGAUGUGGCAUGCUGAUCUGCUUUCUCUCUUUUCCAGUCCAACGCUGCCGGUGCCGCCCUGGCUACCCGCUUCUCCGAGCUGUCUCCCGACUUGGAGAAGUUGCAGACGAAGAACCUGGAGGCGGAGAGGAAGCUUUCCCAGGCCCUCCAGGAGGCCAGCUCCCUUAAGGCCAAAUUAGACAAGGCCGAAAAGGAGUUGGACGCCGCCCAGGUCCAGCUCGCCUCCACCAGGUCGGAGCUCGACCAGGAGAGGGCUGGUGUGGCCAAGCUGAAGGGGGAGCAUGCCGUAGAGCUCUCCGGCACCGUCAGCCGAGAGCGGAAGAAGGCUGUUCGGGAGUUUAUCUCCUCCGAUCAGUUCGAGGUGGACAUCGCCCUCCUCAACCAGCCCUUCCUCCAGGUUGGCUCUACGCGGGCCCUGACCCAAGUGCAGGGCCUCAACCUACCCGGCUUCAACGUGGCGGACUUCAAGGACUACGAUCCUGCGGCCGAGGAUAGGCUGGACUGGCUCUUUGAUGGGUACCGGAAGGGGCAUGCCCUGAAGAGCCUGGUCCGCCGAACCGACGUAGGAGCAGACCUAGAGGAGAUUCCCCUGGAGGAGGACGGGUCUCCAGGCAGAGCUGCCGGGAAAGAGCCGGUGGCCUAGGGCGGUAGCCACUCCAGAAACCCUUUCUGUCUUUUUGUAAGGAUGUGACCAUGCUCCAGUUGAAAAUGCUCUUGGAGGUCCAUCCAGGACGGAAGGGGUUUCCUGCUUCCGGGCUCCUGAAUAGCCUUCACCAUACGCCUCUCACCAUGCUUAAGGUGUACUUUCAACUUCCACCCCGGUCGGGCCACCAGCAGGUAGAACAGACAUCGAAGGAGAUUAUCAGCUCGGAAAUUUUACGGUAGAUAGGCAGGGCGCUUUGUAAUAGAUAGGCAGCUCGGAAGCUUUGUAAUAGAUAGGCUUGCAAUGUAUACACAAGACUUCGAAGAGUUAUUUUCUUCUUUCCUUGCCCACUCGCAAUGCUAUGUGCCGACCUCUUGGGUCGAACACCUCACACCUCACCCCUUGGGGCUGAGUGCUUUAAAUAUUAAGCGCGUCCUUGCCGACCUCCUAGGUCGAACAAUUCGCACUUCCGACCGAGUACUUUAAGCAUUAAGUGCGUUCUUGCCGACUUCCCGGGUCGAACACUUCGCACUUUAUUAAGCGCGUUCGUGCCGACCUCCUGGGUCGAACACUUCACACUUCAGAAUAUUUUAAUCAUUAAGUGCGUUCUUACCGACCUCUUGGGUCGAACACUUCACACUUCAUUGAGAACACUUCACACUUCAUUAAGCGCGUUCGUGCCGACCUCCUGGGUCAAACACUUCACACUUCAUUGAGCGCGUUCGUGCCGACCUCCUGGGUCGAACACUUCACACUUCAUUGAGCGCGUUCAUGCCGACCUCCUGGGUCGAACACUUCACACUUCAGAAUAUUUUAAGCAUUAAGUGCGUUCUUGCCGACCUCCUGGGUCGAACACUUCACACUUCAUUGAGCGCGUUCAUGCCGACCUCCUGGGUCGAACACUUCACACUUCAGAAUAUUUUAAGCAUUAAGUGCGUUCUUGCCGACCUCCUGGGUCGAACACUUCACACUUCAUUGAGCGCGUUCAUGCCGACCUCCUGGGUCGAACACUUCACACUUCAGAAUAUUUUAAGCAUUAAGUGCGUUCUUGCCGACCUCCUGGGUCGAACACUUCACACUUCAUUGAGCGCGUUCAUGCCGACCUCUUGGGUCGAACACUUCACACUUCAAUUGUGCCCUUCUAUUCUAUGGAGCCACCCCACCCCUCUAAUAAUAAUCCGUCUUUGAGAUAAGAAAGAUUGCCAUCUUUAUUUCCGUUUUUGUGUCUCAUGCUGUCAACAUUUUAAGCAGUAAAAAGUAAUGCAUGGAUUUUAAAAAGUUAAAGUGGAGUAAUUGUCACCCUUCUUUUUUACUAUUAACUUUUAAUUAGUCCUUUCAAUUGUAUGUUGCAGCCUUCUAAAUUGACAAUAAUACUCCUAAUGCCCUACACGUCAUCUUCAAUCCUCUCAAUCGUGAAUUGAAGCGAGAGCAUCUUGAAUUAAUUAAUUAACGUUAUUUUUUACUUAAUAACGCGGCAGCAAAGAGAAUUCAGGACUUAAGAAACCAGUGUUGAGAAAAAUUCUGCUAAUAAAGGAGAAAGGUCCAACUCCAACUAGACUAAGGGACGGCGUGGCGGUUGACGACAUUAAUGGUGGAAAAAAGCUGAGCAGCAGGGGGUAUAGCAUCCCCGGUGGCGGUAGGAGCAUCAACGGAAGCAGAAGCACCGCGACCAGGUUGGGGUGGGAGGUGUCCCUGGGUCCCAUAUCCUUGCUGCUUGUAAUCCUCCAAGUCCUUGUACUGCGUGUAGGGACUAGUAUUCACUGGCCCUCCCUUCUCUUCCUUGCCUUUUCUCUCCAUUUUGCCCUCCACCUUUAUUAUUACCACUUCUAUUUGCCCCCAAAAAAAAAAUUUACUUUUUUUCUGUCGAAUUUUUCAGGGCUUCAAAUUGAUAUAGCUGAUCACUAGGUGGAUUGCUCUUUGAUUGAUUUUUGUGAAUUCGAGAAAUUCGUAUUAUAUGGCUUCUCUAUUUCGGCCUGCCGUUGCCACGAGUCAUUGACGUGUUAGGUGUUGAGGAAAGGGAGGCUAGAGUCACGUUGAGCCGCCAAUUCCACCGGGGGAAUGCUUCUUGGUCUCUGCAUCUGCACUAAUCCCGAGCUUUUGGUUUGGACAUUAACCAAAUUUUGGGGGCUCACAGCCCUUUGUGCAGGUACUGAAUCGCACUUGUACGGAUUUCUGUCUUUGGCCCAAAUAUUCAGAGAGAGGUAUCUGCGGCUGUUUCAGGGUUUCGUCCUUAUCAUUUUGGGCCCUGUUAAUUCCUGUUUGGAAUAAUAUACCAAAAUCCAACCCAAAAAAAAAAACGUAGAAUACACAGAACAAGUGGGAAAUGACAGCCAAGCCAUUUUAAAUGCUCGAAAAUUUCUCCUGCAAUGCUACAAUUAUUAUUGCAUUAUUCUAGUACGUCUUUUUGCUCCGUAAAAGAUAAAAUGCAAUAAAGAGGAACAGCAUAGAUCCCAUGAAUUAAAUUUGUUGAAUUCGUUUCAAAGGAGGGAAAAGCACUGAGGAGCGGGCUCAAUUCUUUAUUGACAUUAUUAUUAUGCCAGCUUCAGCCCUCAUCGUUUUGUUUCUUUCUCCUUCGUGCCCGGUAAAAGCCAAGAUUCAAGUUUCGAUCAAGUCACCAUGAUCGUGAUCCUUUUGUUUUUAUGAUCAUCCUUCGUGCUAGUGCAUACUCUUAUCUGCUUCCAUAUAAAAAUAGACCAGUGCCUAAUUACUAGUUCUACUUCUGCAACUAAGUAAUUACUAGUAAUUAGUGUGCCGUGACCCCAUGAACCCCAUCCAAUAAUCGUGUGGUGGUAAUCGCAUCCACAAUUUCGGAUGAUGAAGUCCCUUUCGGCUUUCGAUUUUGAAAAUUAUAUCGCACCAGAAUCCAAAAUGAAUCUUCCAAACCAAUAUCUACCAUCCAAUCAAAUUGUUACAAUAUCUUUUUCAAGUUCAUGCAGUUCCAGACCUCCAAUGUCAACAUACACACUGCUGUCAUGUUAUUUUCCUUGACGUCGUUUUAAGAUUUGUGAAAAUAUUGGAAUCAAAGGCAUGUACAGUUUAGCAGACAAACGGAAUGAUAGAUGCAGACUUUCAAGAAAUUCUCUGUUUGGAUUGAGUGUGUUAUUUGAAAUAAUUACUGUAUUACUUUUUAUAAUGUGAUGUAUGUGAGAUAAAAAGAUGAAUUAAAAAAUAUGUCUAUAAUGCAAGUAAAAUAUUAUUUAAAAAAAGGGGUAUCCAAACAAUUCAUUGAUCGAUAAACGUUGAAGUGAAAAAAAAAAAAAAAAAAAAAAAACAACUGUACACCUUCCUGGUUUAUACUUUUUUUUUCCUGUUUUAUACUUAUGAUGCAAAGUUUUCUACCUCCAGCAGAACAACACCAAAUCAAACUGUAAUAAAUGCGCAAAACAUAGAAGGGAAUUUAUAAUCAUAACUUAAAAGAAACUAGUAAAACCAACUAGGCUCACAGCCCCUUUGAGCAAAGCCAGCAAUUCACCAUUCAUGUAACCUGUCCUGUCCUCUUUUCAGUCUCUAGCUAGCCUAUAUCCAGCUAAUGACCACAGGGCUCCCCACAACAUGCUUUCCCAUCUGACCACUCUAUUCUACCAAACUCGUUAGUAUUAGAUGGCAUUGAAGUUGCACUGAACGUCACCGUAUACGACUUCUUCUCGUAUGCUUUUGUGAAAGUUAAUGUAUCGGGUUCCACCGUAAUCUUAACUGCUGGACUUGUCGUCGAGAUUGAAACCUUGUACGUACUUCCUCCGGAGCCUCCCCCAACGUUGGUAAGCGUCCUCGUGUACUUAACUACGCUCUUGCUUCCGCCGCCGCUGCGGAACCACCGCCCCCCCAAUCACUUGAGUCUGCAGCGACACCGAAAAUGAAGGGUAGUUGAAAUCCCCGAUGCUGUAGGUUUUAUCGGCAUCACAGCUGUAAUUUCGCCUGGCGACCCCUUGAAUUUGCAGGACGUGUAAUUUAAUGCGCAUAGGAAAUUGAGAUAAUCGUCGGUGGUCAGGUCAUAGACGAGUCCCGGGUUGAGGGCUGCGACGGGGUCCACAUGCCCUGCUCCAUGAUCGUACGGUGUCGAUGCCUUUCCGGUGGAGACAUCUAUGAGCUUCUCACGCCGUUUUUGUAAGCGGUGUAGGCCGUGGUCAUGAGAGCCGAGCGGAUGGCGGCUGGGCUCCAGUCUGGGUGCGCCCCCUUGACAAACGCCGCCAAGCCGCUCACGUGUGGGCACGACAUUGAGGUGCCGGAGAUUAUGUUGAACUCCACGCGCCUCGGGUCCUCUGCCAAUCCGGUGGGGCCCACCGCCCCGGUCCACCCUGCUAUUAUAUUCACGCCUGGAGCUAUCAGGUCCGGCUUCAAGAUCUCGGGUGAUUGCAUUUGGUCCCCUCGAGCUAAAAGCAGCUACCACCGGCGACGGUUCGAUCCCCACCUUUGUGCCCUCGAAAAGAAUCGUCGCUGUUGGAUUAGCAUCCGACAAUACAUAAUCUCUAAUCGCGUCUCCUGAUUUCUGACCCACUGUGCUGGCCGGGAGCAAAUGGGCAUCCGCCACAAGCUCCUCACCGUUGGCGGCGGUAUUGGCCAAAACCAUCCCGGCCCCACCGGCUCCUUUCACCACAGCACCCUUUUGGACCCUAGGAUUGAUCCCACGGUCGCACAGGACAAUUUUUCCCUUAACUUUCUCAGGGAUUAACGUGCCGGUCAUGCAGAGAUUCCCAUUGGUGGAAUUGCUAGCGUUCCCUGCAUAGACAAAAGGCAGCAGCUUAGCGGGCAACGAGUCACCUUUGUAAAGCGAAACUCCAGAGAAAUUCUGCCGUUGCCCAGGCUGACAUACGCCGGGAAGUCUCGGUCCAAAGUUCCGGCACCUACGGUGGUAAUCCAGGGUGCCAAGUUGGACAGAGUAUAAGCACUGGGUCCCGCAUUUCCAGCUGAACAGGACACGAAAAUUCCCUUCUCCAUUGCUGAAAAUGCUCCAAUAGCAACACUGUCUCUGUAGUAGUCGGCGGUGCCGCCGCCCAGAGACAAAGACAAGACAUUUACAGAGUCUUCGAUGGCCCUGUCUAUGGCGGCUAAUAUAUCCGAGCUAAAGCAGCCCCCAAUCCAGCAAACUUUGUAUACAGCAACUCUGGCACGAUAGGCCAUCCCACGAGCCGAACCGGAUGCAUAGCCGAAAAGGCUAGCUCCGCCUACGAUUGCUCCAGCAGCCGUGGUGGACGUGUGGGUGCCGUGGCCGUCGUCGUCUCUAGGAGAUUUUGAUUCUUUCGUAACAUCAAUUGGGCCGAGAGUAGCCUCAUAGCCGUUGAAAAAUACCUCGCUCCAAUCAACUUCUUAUUGCAAUGAUUGGAAGUGAAGUUGGUCCCCGUCUCACAGCUCCUUUCCAAGAAGCAGGUACGGGCCCCAUCCCGGUGUCAUCGAAGCUCUUGCUUUCGGGCCAGACGCCGGUGUCUAAGACGGCGACGAUGACAUCGCUCCGAGUCCGACUCCGGGAACAAGUUAGCACUCUGUUGGAGUCCUAAAAACGAGGAGUGCGAGUUGUGUGGAGCUCGUACUUAACCUCUGGCAAAACAUAGAGGAUUCCAGGUUGAUCCUGGAGGGAUUUGGCUUCUUGGGCUGUAAGUCUAGUGGCGAACCCGUGAAUCGCGUUGUUGUAAGUGUACAACAUCUCCGCUGAUUCGGAAACCGAUUUCAGCGACGAGUCGUACCAGCGAGUAUGGUCAUCGAAACUCGCUGGCAUUUGGGAUUUCGCCACAUGAAUAUGUAGGUAUUCUUUUUCUGCUGUACAGCGGAUGCUGCCACGGAGACACGGCAGACACCCAGAAACACAAGAAAAGUCACCUAGAAACAAUCUCGAGAACUUGAGAUCUCCCAUAUUUUCGUUUGUGGGUUGGCAAGAGAAGAAUGGAGGAGGAGGGAUCGAGAGAGUUAUAUAGAGUGGGACCAAAGGGUCGUCUGCUUUUGAACUCAGUGGAGGUGUGAAACUGAAUUCAUGCACAAACAGAGGCUUGAGAAAGAUCAGUGAAGGACAAUUGGUUGAUGAGUGGGGACGGACCUUUGUCUAGUUAUGGAUAUGAUUGCAAAGGACACGCACAAACAAAAACAAAAGGAGAUCAAGCCAGCUACUAGCUAAGGAGCGAGAAUGAAUGAGCGAGCGAGCGAAGAGAAAGGGAAGACUGAUAUAAUAGAGUGAUAUCAAAAUGAAUAUAUGAAUUGUUUCAUCAUUUGGGUAAUAUAGUACUUACCAGUUGAGAGAACUAUUGCUUGCUGGAGAGCAGCAGUAGGAGUACAUAUUAUUAGGUGUUGGUCUUGUCACGUGCGUGCAGGGGUUGUGUUGAUCGAUAAUUGAUGCUCUUUCACUCAUUUAGCCAGUCAGUGGUACUGAUCCUAAAUGGAGCAUUGCUUUCUCCUUUUUUUUUUUUUUAUCUUUAAUAGUGCGCUUUUUCCAAGUCUGUUGCAGAAUGCAGAAGAAAGAGAAGACAGUGGGAGAUAGGUGGAAAAAAUAAAGCAGGUCUUUGAAUUCGCUACUGCGAGCCGUGGGAAAUAAUGCCCACACUCUUCUGUAUUCUGUUUUCCACGCUUUAUUUACUUUCAUUUGACCAUUGCUGCAAACAUUGGGGCCAUAGCCAGUUGCCAGUGGCAGUAGCCCAAUUCAAGAUGAUAAAUUUCUUCACCUACGUCGUCUUCCAUUGGUCUUUUUCUUUUUUCUUUUUUUUUUUUGUCGCUAGCCGACCGAAAAUACAGUAAAAGAAAGCCACUAAAAAUGAUAAAUCAUAAAUAAUAAUCGGUGAAAAUUAAGGUUUGAAUCAUUAAUCUUCUAUCAAUAAUUAAUACUUUUUAAGUCUGGAUAGUGAUCAAUAGACUAAAUGGCUGUGAACGUCUUUCAUUACUCAAUGGAGGUUGUUAUACUACUCUUUUUGUCUUUUCUUGAUUGGUGAAUCAGGGGAUAGAAACAGUAACACUUAAUAAUCCCGGGGACAGGGGAGGGGAAGAUUCCUAGAUCUCGUUUGAUAAGUGAAUUUUUUAAAUGUUUAUUUAAAAUUUUAAUGUAGUUUAUUGUAAAAAUUGUAGGAAAAUUUUUUUAGUGUGUAAAUUUUUAAAGUGUAUGAUUUAAAAAUUGAAAAGUUUUUUGAGAUUAUUAUAAAUAAAAUUAUUCAAAAAUUUAUAACAGAUAAAUUUGAUCAAAAACUUACUUGCCAAACAUACCCCGUGUGAAAGAGGCAGCAGUAUACUACAAGGAGAAGGCCAAAUAAUAAGAAGCAAAGCGGGUAAACUAGUAGAAUACAAUAAAAAAAAUCUUGAAUAUUACGCCUAGUGUGUUCACGGGUUUAUAGAAACUGUUUGUGGUUAUUGUCCACAAGGAUAGACAGAUAGAGCGGUGGGUGAGAGACGCGUAUGCUUCAACCAACUCAACUCAACUGAUAGAAACUGUGUGAUAAAUCAACUUCCCUGAGUUCCCUCGCCGCUUUGUGUUCGAUUUUAGGGGUCGUGGAUAAAUCAACUUGGGGUUUGUUUGGAUAGAGAUUUAUUAGCUAAAAUUUAUUUACUUACAUCAUCAUUACAAUUUCCAACGCACCUUUUUAUCUUCCCAAUUACCUUUUUAUCUCACAGACAUCACAUCACAAAAAGUGCUACAGUAAAAAUAUCUCAAAUAAUUUACAAUCCAAACAGAGCCUUGGGCUCCAUUUGGUGCAAAAUUCAAUUUUAAUUAAACCCAUCUCAUGCGAACCUCUCAAACAACCAAUCAAGACCAGCUUAAUUAGGUACUCGUGAGUUAAUUGAACUUUUGAAUAUACUUCAUUUUUCAAUAACCGACACGCACGUAUUUUGCUAAAACUAGGUAAAGCAAAAUCGCAAAUUCUACCAUAAUCAAACUCGAGCUUGAUAAGGCACGAUUGCGCAUUCUUGAUUGAGCUAUGCCUGCCAAGCAUAAUCGAAUUGAAAUAAUCAAAUGCAUAAUUUUGAUGCAGAAUUAAUGCGGGUUACAAGAGCUACCCAAUAAAUGAAUAAUUUUCGGCUAAAAUCUAUCUCGAGUCGAUUACUCUCUAAUCAUCUGUAUCUUCUUUCUUCUUAUUAUAGUAGUACUUUAUGAUUUUGUACACGGAAGUGGGGGGGCAACGAAUCAUGUGAACGUUUCUUGGCCAAAAAAGAAAUUUGUUAAAAAUGGUUGAUCUGAAGUAAGGAUGUGUAUCGAAAUCAAAUUCGAUAAUUUGAAAUUUUGAAAAAUUUGGACAUCAGAAAAUUUGAUCAAUUUCAAUUUCGAUUUUACAUAAUCGUAUUCGAAUUCGUAUCGAAUUCAAUUCAAAAUUCAGUAUUAACCAAUUUCAACUAAUUCAAUUUUUGUAUUAUAAUUAUACAUAUUUUUUGCUAAACUAAAUGCUAACUUUUGUAUAAUAUAUGUUUAUAAUUAUAACAUAAUAUACAACUAACUUAAUAAGACUGAUUAUUGUAUUGUUAUAUAGAUGUAUUAUUAUAUAAUAUAAAUUUUAUAUUACAUAUAAUAUAUAUAUAACAUACAAAUUUGAAAUCGAAAUAGUUAUUCAAGUUUUGAUUUCGAAAUUAAAAAUCCAGAUUUGAGAAAAUCAUAACAGAAUUCGAACCAAAUUCAUAUAAUUCGAAAAUAAAAACCCGAUUUCCACUCCAUUUUUCGAUUUACCGAUUUUGAAAUUUUCGAUUUCCUUUACUAUCCCGAAUUUUUUUUUUUUAAAUGGAGGCUAGAGAGCGCUCCGCCAUCCUCCCCUGAAAUCGCGACGGAUCAGUUUUUUUUUUUUUUUUUUUUGUGGUUUACGUCCAAUUUAGACCUAUAUAUAAUAUUCCAACAAACUAAAUGAAAGUAUUAAAAGUUCAGCCAAACGAUAAUUGCAGCAUGUACUCUUUUUCCACUCAUCCGUUUAUGGAUUUUGGAGCUCAGGCCAGUGCGACCUUCUGGACGCUCAGAUGGAGAUUAGGGAUGGCGGCUGGGGUGAAUUAAGUGCCUGUGAUAGAGUGGGGUUUUAGCUCGAGUUGAAGUGUGGAGGGCAACUGUGAAUUUGUCCGCCUCGGCACCGUCUCAGGCAAGGGCCGUGGUAGUACUUGAGGGGGCCUCUUCAGAAUUCGAUCUUUAGUCCUUUUGAAUAAAAGGUCUUGGGAUGCUUUCUGGUACCACGGCCCUAGUCUAAGACGGUGUCGAGGCGGAUAAAUCCACAAUUGACCUCCACAUGAAGAAUACUCUCGAAAAAGAAGAGAUGACUCAUUACCGCCUAUGUGCUCCUGCAUCAUUAAACCCUAUACUUUAUUAUUUAGGCCCAAACUUGGGUAGACACAAUAUUUAAAAAUCCAAUGAUCUAGAUUAUAUUGCAGAGUUUAGUAAGAUAAUGUGAUCCAAUUUGAGCUAUUGAGUUUUGAAAAUUGGAUGCAUCCAAAUAUGAACAUUUUCUUUAAGGUUAACAUUAAGAGCGUUGACAAUUGAGUUUUCUUUUUGUUAAGGAUGAGCAUGACAGUCGUACGAAAGCUUAUAUUUGGAUUGAGAGAUUUCAAAAAUGAUUCGAAAUUCAUCCAAACCCUUCUAGUUGUUUACAUUAAUCAAGAGGUAUUUUGAUUUGUAAAUCACCAAGUAGGCCUCGUUUGGGGCCGCGGUAGUUUAUAAAAAAGCAUUUCAGAUACAACUAAUCUUUGAGAAAAAGUACUUUUUAAGGUGCCAGAAUUUGGCUACUUAAAUUACAAGAAAUUAAUUACCAAACAUCCUUAAAAAUAUUUUUAUUACUUAAAUUUUUUUUUUCUGUAAAUGCACCGUAACUUCAAAUAGGGCCAAAAGUAGUGUUUAAGAUGCAUUUAGAUAAUCAAUGAAUUGUAAACUCAAAUGUUUCUUAAAUAAUUCAAACAAUUAGAGCGAUUUGGAUAGAAUUAAAAUCCUUCAUCAAUUUUUUAACCCGAACGAAGCCUAAUAAAAAAAUUAGAAAAAAGAUUGAUUAGAGAGGGGUGGGAUACAUGGGACCUAGAGGUGAUGAUUACAUAAUUUGAUGCGUGAUGGACAACAGGUAAUCAUAUGUAUAGACUUGAGUUGGAUGAUGAGGACGAGGAGGAGGGAGUGUGAGUGAGGGAUUCGGUGUUGUAGUUCUUCCACCACGACUGACACUUUACACAAUAUGACACUCUACAAACUAUGAAUAGAGUCGUAUAAGCGCGUAUUAAAUCUACACCAGCGUUAUUGCGUGAAGCAGAAGCACUUUUUCCUCGCCCAAUAAAUUAAGCAUGCCACCACGAGGCUCAUGAAAUUAACUCGAUCUUAGUACGCACUUUUACAGUGUAAACCAAUGACACUGUCGUUGUAUGCACCAGACAACAAGUUCGUCUAACGUUUGAAGCGGGAGACACAGCCCACAAGUUGCACAAAUGAGCAAGCCAUCUUUCAAAGUGGAUCUUUGGAAAGCAGGCAAUCAUGCCCAUGCAUCAUUGGAGCCUUUAUAAAGGUUUGUUGGCCCUUUUUUUGCCUUAUAAACGAAGCCUCUUCCUGCUAGUAUUUAAUUUGCUCAUACCAUAGCGCUGACAAUUGGAAUAAAGGUCAUAAAGUCUUAUUAUACGCAGCGGGACUGGCUGUAAAGGAUGCACUCUUAUGGUCAUAAGGCAGUUAUGCCCGGAAUUUUGUUUUUCGCAGUUGGUUAGAACUUAGAACAGAAAGAAAGAGAAAUUCUGAGGUCUACAAACCGCCAACAUGUGAUGGGUGGUCUAAAGCAAGAUUGUUUUGUCUUGCCGGUGACUGAUAUCCUAUACUUUCCUGCCUACUUCCAACCUCCUUGCCCCCCCCCCCCCCCAUAUAAUAUAUUUCAUUAGCUCUCUCUAGUCUACUUGUAAUGAGCAGACAAAGCAGUCAAUUUCUUUUUAGCUUUAUGGAGCUCUCCCCAACUUAUUGUUGGCCCUGGGAUUUGUCUAAUUUGUUACGGCUAUUUAUUUCUAUUAAAACAAACCUACAAAAGUGAGACCCCCCAAACAAAAAGAAAAAAUUCGUGGAAAAAAAAAUUUACGGAGCACUACUGUAAUUGGUGGGGCAAAACUGUGAGAUAUGAUGAAUCCGAGAGUUCUUCUAAUACAGUAGCCUAGUUUCCAUCACUGACACUAACUUUUCAUUGGCAUUUAUGGAGUAUACAGUAGAGGCACAAUCAUCCGUAGUUGGCAAUCAUGUAUGUAUAUUGGUUUCGUCUUGCAAAGAGCUUCUUAGGAUGCAUAUGAGAGAUUUAACAAACAAAUUAGAAGUCGGAUUUACGAAACUGUUACUUGUACUCCUCCUUUAAGAAAUCUUUUUGCAUCAUUCACAAAGUCGGGUUUAAUCUAUAUGAAUUGAUAUUACUAUAAUAAUCCAGUAGCAAUACAACCUUAAUGAUUUUACAUUUUGCAGAUCCUAGCGCGGUUCAGAAUUCUGAGCUUGAAUUACGCCGUCGUAUCAUUUGAGACCAGUGACGAAGAAGAAAAACAAGCCGGGAGCUGUAACUUUUUUGUUUCUUCAACGAACCAGCAUGUGACGGUGGCCUACUAAUAAUUCAGUUGUGAAAAGGAAAUUCUGCUGCAUUAGCUAGCUGGUGUGCCAUAUGCUCGCCCGCCAAUAAGUCAAUCCUGACAGACCAUCUUUCAACUCAAUGAGGUUGAUUACUGAUUACAUUUGUGUGCGUACCUGCUGCCAAGGAUAGAGAAGUUAUUAAUUGCCUGGCUCCAUGCUCUUUCCAUCACUGCAGCAGCGAUAAUAAUCUGUGAAGCCUAGAUCACCUCAAAUCCAGGGGGGCAAAAAAUAUAUAUACAUGAUAGUUAUAAUCAUGUCUAAGACCACCACUGAUUGAUUGAUCAGAUCAUGACACUGAGAAAGAAAGCUUUGUACGACCUGCAACGCGACAGUGAAGUUUUGGUCAUUCUCCUUUUGUUUAGGGAUUUUAAAUCACCCAAGUCAUUUGGUUAAUUGUCUUGUGAAAGUUACUUCGUGUUGGGCUAAAUUUGAAACCGACUUUUCUAGGAAUGGAGAUGGAAACAUGAAUGCGUAGAUGAUUAAAAAUGCUUCGAUCCUUUAAACUUGUCGUUUAACGCAUAUGCUUUAAUAUAUAUAUGUCUUAUAAUUGGUUGCUCGUGAAUAAUGAAUAGGAAUAUAAUGGAAGGACGGAUUAGUAGCACAUAUAAUAAGGAUACAAACGGGGCCAUCAAAUCCCCCAAGCUGUUUUCUUUUGUUUGUUUUGUUAUUGGGAAUAAUUUGAAAAACCUCCCUUAGGCUAAGUUUGGGAGUUUAGGAUAGAAAAGAGAAGAAGGGAAAACUUAAGUCACGAGAGAAGAGAAGAGAAAAGAAGGGAUUGUUGUGUUGUUUGGGGGUUUUAAGAAUUGGUGGAAUGAUUUUUGGCUAUAAAAGUCAUAAAAUAUUUGUUCAAUACAUUUUUAAGGAUAAAAUAGGUAUUUUAAAAAACUUUCAUAAGGUUCCUCCAACUUUCUCUCCAAUUUAGGAGGAAAACUUUUACUUACUACAGUAUUUAUCCUCUUAAAUCCUUCUAUUUCUCUUCUUUUCUUUCAUAAUAAAAACUAACAAACGAAGGAAAUGUUCACUUUCUCUUUUUUCUCCAAAUCAUCAACUCCCAAACGAGCCCUUAGAGUUUGUGGCAAAAAUAAAAAAAAUAUAUAUAUAUAUAUAUAUAAUAUAAUAAUACAAUAGUAAAUAGGAGCACGGGUGACAAGACAGAAGAUCCACUGAUCUAAUAUUUCAUUUCGAGUGAAGGGCGCCACCCCCUCGCUGUAUAUUCAUCAUGGACGUUCGCUAUCUGCCCAUCCGCACCAGAGCACCAGCUUGGCUGGCAAUUAGCUAGGCUCUUGUGCUACAUGAUCCGUAAGGUGGAAAUUGGGAGGUGGGUGGGUCUACUGCGUCUAUUCAAUUUGUAUUUUGCGAAAGACAUUAAGCAAGCAUCCUAUAAUAAUAUAUGAUAAGAAAAGCUUGUUUAAUUGUGUAUGUAUGACUAUGGAGGACGCCACUUGAAGAAGCACGGAACUUCCCCUAGGAGAGCUGACCUAAUCAGCUCGGGGUGUUGAUGGGAGAGCUGACUUCAAGCCUGCAAGACAGAAAGGAUGAGCUAACUGAGGGGGCCCGAGGGUGGUCCCCGAGGGCACUCCGACGGUCAAGUUAGUUUUCCGGUGAGUGAGUUUCACAGGAAGUAGUAACUGUCCGGAGUAAAUUGUCAAUAGUGAGCGUACCUUGUACAGUGGAUCUGUGUUAUUAUUUAUACCUGCAAGGGAGUCCGGCCUCCGCACGACGCGGGACUUGCCCGGUAUAGAUAACAUCCCGCACAUAGGGGGAUUUCUCCCGACCUCCUCGGGACGGACCUUCGCCUCCCCUGGGAGCCCUAGCCGGUGCGGCCCAGGGCUGCUGCCAGGAGUCUGGGGCCAAGGCCCAGCUCGGUUCCUCCUGGGCUGCCGCGUGUCCGGGCCCAGAACGGGGCCUCUGCACUAGCCCCCUAGAUUAGGUAGGACUGUCAGGCAGACCUAAUCUAUCUCCGCCACGUGGGAGGCCAGAACCGCGCACUACCCUGCCGAGGUCACCUCUGGUACAGUGCUGUCACAGGGACGCUGCUCCCACGUCCUUUCAGCUGUCCCGUCUCUUCGGUUUUCGUGCCCGCAUUAAAUGCGUUCACAUGGGGGUCGGUUCAAAUUCAUGCAACCGUUUUCCCUCCACUCUUCCCCUAUAAAUAGGGGAUGCCAAAUACUCAUCUGUCCCAUUUGCCAUUUCCGCCUCUUCUUGUGCAUUUCAAGUUAUCACUCUCCCUGCGCACCCACAUUUCCAUUUUCCAGCAACCUCCGGCGUCCUGUGCCCAGAUUCCGGCGAGCCUUCAGUCCUUCUUCUGCCGUCAUCAGUAAGUCCUUUUUGCGACUCAUCUUCCCUCUUUGCGGUGUCUCUUUUGCCCUCUGCUACCUCCCACUUUUUAUGUCGGAGCAUUCCUCCUCCUCUGUUGCUGUAGUAUCAAUCCGCCGCCGAGCUCCCCGAAUCAUCGUUCUUUCCUCGCCUUCACCCUCAUCUUCGUCACCAUCUUCUCCUCCUCCCCCUUCCCCUUCUUCUGUUUCUAGUCCCAGCUUCCACACCUCAGACCUACUUGAGCCUACCGAUACCAUGAGUUCUCCGUCUGCCCACUCCCCUUCGGCCCAAGCCCUUGAGGAGGCAGCCGAGCUUCACGCGCUCAUCGCGCGGCAGGCUACCUCCACUCCCUCCCCCAGAUCCCCCCAUGAUUCCCCUGGCGGAGCCCAGGAGGGUGCCGGGGAGGAUAGGGACUCAUCGGGUGGGUCCCCUGCUCCCGAGCAGGGGAAUGAUCCUGAAUUCUCCUAUGGCUAUCCCGACCUGCAGGAGGCCACCCUCUCUCCCCAGGAUUUGGCCGAGCUGGUUAGGUCGUACUCCAUCCCUCCAACCUACGAGCCGAGGUUGGCCGGGCCCGACGACCGGGCCUGCCGGCCUCCCCUGGCUUCGUAGCCAUCUAUAGGGAGCAGCUCAUCGCAGGGCUCCGUCUCCCCAUCCAUCCAGCUCUAACCGAGAUUCUGAACCACUGGGGGCUCAGAAUCACACAGCUCCAUCCUACCUCUAUCAGGAUCAUCACCGGAUUCCUGAUCUACUGCCUUCUCUGCGACAUCCCUUACUCUCUCUCCCUCUUCCGAGCUGCAUUCAUUCUUAAGGCCGCCCUCCCGGGGUGGUACUACUUCUCCCGCCGUGGCCCCAGACCAAGGGAGGGAAAGGGGCCCAGGAGUUGUUCUUCGGCCUCCGCUCCUCCGUGAAGGAUUGGAAGGAGGAUUUCUUCUUUGUCAGAUCCACACAUUUUCCCCCCAAUGUGUGGAAGGUUGGGGGAGUCAAGGCCGACCCCUACCCGAAGGACCUGGACUACGAGACCCUCGGCCAGCUGUUGGGCUCCAAGGUGAAGCUCGAUGUCACCAGGAUCUCUACUGAGCAGAUCUCCGCAGCCGGGCUGAUGGGGACGUUGUCCGGAUCCUCCGGGGAAGUGGCGACCCCCAGCCCGAACUCGACACCUGUAACACUGGCUCUGUCCCUGUCUUUAUUCAUAGCGUAUAGAUUUUCCCUUUUCUGCCUUUUACUGUCUUUCGUUUGGCUGACCUGGUGUUCAUUUCAGUGAGAAAGCUCUCCCAGCUGAUGGGCGUACCCCUCGAGGAGGUCACUCCCGACCCCCAGCCUGGAGCUGCUCGGGGGCCCCAGGUGGGCUUCCACCCCGGGGGCGGCUCUGCCCCCCACAAGGAGACAUCACAACCAUCUCCCUCCAAGCAGGCCGCCAGCAAAAGAAGCGGCCGGUCAGAAGAGGGGCAGAGGGGACGAGCCCUCUCAGGCUGGCAGAAGAGGCUCGCCCUGGUCUCCGCACAGCCUCCUCCUCUUGCGCGGUCUCCGGGGACCAGUCCACCUGGGCGUGGGCUCUGCCGAGGAGCAGGUCCAGGAGUCGACUCCCCCGAGCUUGUGGCACUUCCGCCACAUAACUCCCCUGAAGCCAGGCCAAGUCCCCACGAUGCAUGACCCCCGCCACUUCUGUCCGUCCUGGAAACUCUCCAUCAACGACCGAGCCCAGUUCCCCGAGGUGGCUCGCGAGCUGAUGGUGGGCUCGCGUCCUUCCUAGGGACAGGAAGUGGAUGGAGCUGGCCAGUCCCUCCGAGCUCUUGAUGCGUACUACACCGCCCAGGCCCAAGUAAGUAUCGCCCAUGGUUAAUUUCCCCCCGUGUCUGGGUUAAGUGAUGUGGCAUGCUGAUCUGCUUUCUCUCUUUUCCAGUCCAACGCUGCCGGUGCCGCCCUGGCUACCCGCUUCUCCGAGCUGUCUCCCGACUUGGAGAAGUUGCAGACGAAGAACCUGGAGGCGGAGAGGAAGCUUUCCCAGGCCCUCCAGGAGGCCAGCUCCCUUAAGGCCAAAUUAGACAAGGCCGAAAAGGAGUUGGACGCCGCCCAGGUCCAGCUCGCCUCCACCAGGUCGGAGCUCGACCAGGAGAGGGCUGGUGUGGCCAAGCUGAAGGGGGAGCAUGCCGUAGAGCUCUCCGGCACCGUCAGCCGAGAGCGGAAGAAGGCUGUUCGGGAGUUUAUCUCCUCCGAUCAGUUCGAGGUGGACAUCGCCCUCCUCAACCAGCCCUUCCUCCAGGUUGGCUCUACGCGGGCCCUGACCCAAGUGCAGGGCCUCAACCUACCCGGCUUCAACGUGGCGGACUUCAAGGACUACGAUCCUGCGGAGGAUAGGCUGGACUGGCUCUUUGAUGGGUACCGGAAGGGGCAUGCCCUGAAGAGCCUGAUCCGCCGAACCGACGUAGGAGCAGACCUAGAGGAGAUUCCCUGGAGGAGGACGGGUCUCCAGGCAGAGCUGCCGGGAAAGAGCCGGUGGCCUAGGGCGGUAGCCACUCCAGAAACCCUUUCUGUCUUUUUGUAAGGAUGUGACCAUGCUCCAGUUGAAAAUGCUCUUGGAGUCCAUCCAGGACGGAAGGGGUUUCCUGCUUCCGGGCUCCUGAAUAGCCUUCACCAUACGCCUCUCACCAUGCUUAAGGUGUACUUUCAACUUCCACCCCGGUCGGGCCACCAGCAGGUAGAACAGACAUCGAAGGAGAUUAUCAGCUCGGAAAUUUUACGGUAGAUAGGCAGGGGCUUUGUAAUAGAUAGGCAGCUCGGAAGCUUUGUAAUAGAUAGGCUUGCAAUGUAUACACAAGACUUCGAAGAGUUAUUUUCUUCUUUCCUUGCCCACUCGCAAUGCUAUGUGCCGACUCUUGGGUCGAACACCUCACACCUCACCCCUUGGGCUGAGUGCUUUAAAUAUUAAGCGCGUCCUUGCCGACCUCCUAGGUCGAACAAUUCGCACUUCCGACCGAGUACUUUAAGCAUUAAGUGCGUUCUUGCCGACUUCCCGGGUCGAACACUUCGCACUUUAUUAAGCGCGUUCGUGCCGACCUCCUGGGUCGAACACUUCACACUUCAGAAUAUUUUAAUCAUUAAGUGCGUUCUUACGACCUCUUGGGUCGAACACUUCACACUUCAUUGAGAACACUUCACACUUCAUUAAGCGCGUUCGUGCGACCUCCUGGGUCAAACACUUCACACUUCAUUGAGCGCGUUCGUGCCGACCUCCUGGGUCGAACACUUCACACUUCAUUGAGCGCGUUCAUGCCGACCUCCUGGGUCGAACACUUCACACUUCAGAAUAUUUUAAGCAUUAAGUGCGUUCUUGCCGACCUCCUGGGUCGAACACUUCACACUUCAUUGAGCGCGUUCAUGCCGACCUCCUGGGUCGAACACUUCACACUUCAGAAUAUUUUAAGCAUUAAGUGCGUUCUUGCGACCUCCUGGGUCGAACACUUCACACUUCAUUGAGCGCGUUCAUGCGAGCUCUUGGGUCGAACACUUCACACUUCAGAGUAUUUUAAGCAUUAAGUGCGUUUGCGACCUCCUGGAUCGAACACUUCACACUUCAUUAAGCGCGUUCGUGCCGACCUCCUGGGUCGAACACUUCACGCUUCACCCACUACCCCUAACCCCCCACUAGGACGUUGAGCGAGGGAAUGCUGAAUGUGCUAGUGUAAGGUGCAGGUUUGAAAUUGUAAAAUGAAACAAGUACAAGUGAAAAUUAAAACGAGCUGUGAUUGAAUGAGAAAACAAAAACUCGGAUUCCAGAGAACAGGCCACGGAUCACCCUGGUUUAACCUAUUCUACAAACAACCGCAAAUUGGAGAAGUGCCAAGUCCGAGAUACUUCAGAUCCAUCCGUCUUAGCGAGCUUGCAAUAGCCAGGUCGGCUCGCCUCAAGAACCUUGUAGGGGCCCUCCCAAUUUGGGUCGAGCUUGUUGGAGCCGUGUACUCGGUUACUCGAGUCGAGUUCUUCCUCAGGACGAGAUCUCCUGCUGGUACUGUAUAGUCUUUACUUUGGCGUUGUGAUAGCGAGCGAGCUGGCUUUUAUACUUAGCCAUUCGAAUAGCCGCUUCCUCCCGCCUGACUUCGAGCAUGUCCAAGUUGCACCUAAACUCUUCCUCGUUGGAUGUUGCCGGCGAAGUUCUGUGUUCUGGGUGAAGGAAGACCAACCUCUGCGGGCACCACAGCUUCUGCUCCGUAUGUUAGGAGAACGGGGUCUCGUGGGUAGCCGUCCUGGGCGUAGUGCGGUAAGCCCAGGGGACACUGGGGAGCUCAUCCAGCCAGCUUGAUUGGGCGGACUCCAGUCUAGUCUUCAACCCUUGCAGGACAGUUCGGUUAGCGUUCUCCACUGGCCAUUGGCCUGGGGGUGACCAACCGACGUGAAGUGUUGGUUGAUUCGAGCUCGGCGCACCAGCUGCGGAAAGGGUCCUCGGCGAACUGGCGGCCGUUGUCAGAUAUCAGGGCAUGCGGAAUCCCAAACCGGCAAACUAUGCUCUUCCAAAAGAAUUUCUGAAUUGCCUUCUCGAGAUAGAGACCAGGGGCUCCGCUUCCACCCAUUUGUGAAGUAGUCUAUGGCUACCACGAGAUGCUCAUAUCUUCCCGGUGCUCGGGGAAAGGGACCCAGGAGGUCUAUCCCCAUUGAGCGAAGGCCAAGGACUGUGGAUGGGGACCAUCUCCCGAGCUGGCUGAUGGCGCAGCGAAGUGUGCACCUGGCAGGCUCGGCAUUUCUGGACCAGAUCUGCUGCGUCUCGGAAGACGGAGGGCCAAUAGUAGCCCAAAGGGAGGCACUUCUUAGCCAGCACUCGGGACCCCACAUGGGCCGCACAUAUUCUUCAUGGACUUCGCGCAGGACGUAAUCACCUUUCUCGGCGUCACGCACUUUAGCCAGGGGGACAAGUACGACCUCCUGUAGAGGGUUCCCCCGGCGUAGGCGUACUUGGCAGCUCGGAGCUGGAUGCGUCGGGUCUCAGCUUUGUUUUCGGGGAGGUCACCCGAGCUGAGGAAGUUAACGAGGGGCGUCAUCCAGGUGGCCGAGCUGUCUAUAGCCAGGAGCUGGACUGAUUGAUACUUUUCUGCUUUAGCCCUCCACCAAUACCUCCUUGCUCAGGUGGGCAAAUGAGGAGGAUGCCACUUUGAAAGGGCGUCUGCCCGCUUGUUCUGGAACCUUGGCACCGCUCGAUUUCGAACGUUUCGAACAAGGCCACGCUCUCGUACUUUGGCCAGGUACUUCUUCAUAACCUCGUCCUUGGCUUCGUACUCCCCAAGGACUUGAAGGACGACGAGCUGUGAGUCGCUCCUGACCUGGAUCGCGGUUAUUCCCAUCUGGUGGGCUAUCCGCAAUCCUGUGAGCAGGGCCUCGUACUCGGCCUCGUUGUUGGACGCGGGGAAGUCCAAUCGGAGGGCGUAGGUCAGUUCUUCCCCGGUAGGUGAAAUGAGUAGCAGACCCGCCCCGCUUCCUUCCUUGCUGGAGGCCCCGUCUACGAACAACACCCAGGGCUCCUUCGGCAGCCGCUCCUCGUGUUGGGGCUUAGCUCGGUUAGACUCAAGCUAGCCCCCUCAGCAAGGAAAUCCGCUAAGGCCUGGGCCUUGAUGGCUUUGCGGGGUUGAUAGCCGAUGUCGUGCUCGGCUAGCUCGACAGCCCAUUUGGUCAUUCUGCCCGAGACCUCUGGCUUGGUGAGUAUCUGACGCAAGGGCUGGUCAGUCAGGACUACAAUGCCGUGAGCCUGAAAGUAAGGGCGGAGCUUGCGUGCCGCAUGUACCAAGGCAAGGACCAACUUCUCGGCUGGCGAGUAUCGUGUCUCUGGCCCCUGUAGAGCUCGGCUUACGUAAUACACCGGCCUCUGAGCCCCCCAUCCUCCCGCACCAGGACCGCGCUGACGGCCUCGUUGCAGGCGGAUAGGUAUAGGAAUAAGGUCUCCCCCGGCUCUGGGGCUGUCAGAGAUGGUAGCUCGGCCAAGUAGAUUUUUAGGUCGAUGAAGGCCUUCUGGCACUCCUCAGUCCAGUGGAAGUCCUUCGGCGCUUUCAGUACUCGGAAGAAGGGCAGCCCCCGGACCGCGGAGCGCGAGAGAACCUAUUCAGGGCGGCCAUCCUUCCUGUUAGCCGUUGGACUCCUUCACGCUCCUCGGAGGGGCCAUGUCCAUGAUGGCCUGGAGUUUAUCCGGGUUGGCCCGGAUUCCGUCUCGGGACACCAGGAAACCGAGAAACCUUCCCGAUCUGACCCCAAAAGUGCACUUCUUCGGAUUUAGGCGCAUCCGGCUCUUCAGUAGGAUGUCCAGGACCUCCCGCAGGUCGGGUAUGAGGCGCUGGUCAGUUCGACUUUUGACGAUCAUGUCGUCCACAUAAACCUCCAUGCUCCUGCCGACCUGGUUUUGGAAUAACUUGUUCACCAGGCGCUGGUAAGUUGCUCCCGCGUUCUUCAAUCCGAAGGGCAUGGUCCUGUAGCAGUAGGUUCCCUCCUCGGUGAUGAAGGAGGUCUUGUCCCGGUCCUCCUCGGCCAUCUCUAUCUGGUGAUAUCCCUUAAAGGCAUCCAGAAAGCAUAAAACGUCAAAGCCCACAGUAGAAUCUACUAACCUGUCAAUUCGAGGCAGGGGAAAGCAGUCCUUUGGGCAGGCUUUGUUAAGGUCUGUGAAGUCUACACACAUCCUCCAGGUCAGGUCCUCCUUCUUGACCAGGACGGGGUUGGCCAGCCAGGUCGGGUAGUAGACCUCCAGGAUGAUCUUGGACUCCAACAACUUGCCGACCUCCUGCCCUGAUCACCUCAUUUCUCUCGGGGGCGAAACUCCUUUUCUUUUGCUUUACUGGCUUGAAGUGAGGGUCCACGUCGAGGUGAUGGACGGCCAGGUCCGUAGGGAUCCCGGGCAUGUCAUCCACCGUCCAUGCGAAGACCUGGGAGUACUCCCUCAAUAAGGCCUUCAAGCCUUCCUUCUCGUCCGCUGGCAGCAAUGCCCCGAUGCGGAUGACCUGGUCGGGACGUUCCUUCCUCAAGGGAACUCCUCAAUCUCAUCCUGGGUGCCCAGCAGUUGGGCCUCAUCCCCUGGGAUGUAGGGCUCCAAACAGGUUGUCUGGGCGACCACCUUCUCCUGCCCCCGGAGUGUGGCAGGUACAAGCCCUGGCUACCUCGGGUCGCCGUGCACCUCGGCUAUCCCCCCGGGGUAGGGAACUUGACGCUGAGGUGGUAAGUGGAGGAAACAGCCCGGAGGGCGUUCAAGCAGGCCUCCCCAGGAACACAUUGUACGGGGACGGCUGCCUGACCACCACGAAGUUGACGGGAACAGUCCGCAUUUGGGAGCCUGUCCUACUGUGACCAUCAGGGUGAUCAUCCCUUCCGAGCUGAUGGGUGGUCCGGUAAAUCCCACCAGAGGUGUCCGGACCGGGGUGAGCUGGUCAUCCCUUAAUCCGAGCUCCUUGAACACCCUGUAGAACAUGAUGUCGACCGCACUACCCUGGUCGACAUAUACCUUCUUCACCCGAUAGUUGUUGGUGACAAUGUCUAUCACGAUGGCCUCAUGGUUCCCAGAACCAGGGGGACCGCAUCCCUUGGCCCGAAGGUGAUCUCCUCGUCCAUGCGCAAGCGCUUCAAGGAAUCGUCCCUUCGGGGGUGGUCGCUUGUUCUUCCGAGCUGCAUGGCUGUCCCCCCCUGUGGGACCUCCGGCAAUGGUGUUUAUCACCCCGCCAGGUUCUGGGUGUCCUGGUCGGGAGAGUGGCCCCGAGGAGCGUCCGCCGCUCUGGCGGUCCCGACGCCGUCCCUCGUGCCUGUCUCCGUAGUGGUUGCGCCCGGGCUCCUGACCUGGUCGGCGCACGAACCGCCCUAAAGGCCGCGCUGGAUCAGGUCUUCUAUCUCCUUACGCAGGGCCCAGCAUCCCUCCGUGUCGUGUCCCACGUCGCGGUGAAAGGCGCAGUACCUGUCCUGGUUCCUUUUGUUUCGGGGCGUCCCCAUUUUUGGCGGCCGAUCUCCUAGUCCUUCCGCCUCCAUAACGGCCAAGAUCUGAGCUCUGGGCCGUGUUAGAGGGGUGUAGGUCUUCUCUGGGAGUGGCGGCAGAGCAGGGGCCUUCUCCUUCGAGAGCCGGUCGAAGACGUUUUUCUUGGACGGGGCGUCCUUGUUCUCCGGGGGUUUGUCCGACCUCUCCGAUUCCCGAGCUCCCGAUCUGACUCUUCUUCAGACGACCUGCCUCCUCCGCAUUAGCAGCCUCGUGCGCCCUGCGAAGGAGCUCUUCCAGGUGCACGGGGGCUUCUUGGCCAGGUCGUAGAAAAACUCUUCUACCCUGAGCCCGUUCGUGAAGGCAGCCAUCACCACUUUUUCAUCCCUGUCCCUGACCUGCAAACUCUCCGCAUUGAAGCGGGUCAUGAAAUUCUUCAGUGACUCGUCGGGCCUUUGCCUGAUGGACAUCAGGUGGGUUGCGUUCCUCGCGUAACCUUCGAGGAGACGAACUGGGCCGCAAACUGCCGAGCCAGCUCGGGAAAGCUCCGUAUAGAUCCCGGUUUCAACCCUGGAACCAGAGCCGCGCCUUCCCCUUUAGGAACAUAGGGAAGGUCUUGCAGCGGACCUCAUCCGCGGCGGUUUGCAGGCGCAUAUGCGUCAGGAAGACCGAGAGGUGGUCUCGGGUCGUAGAGGCAUCGUACAUCUCGAUGCUCGGAAUCUUAAACCUCCGGGGUAGGGGGUAGUCCUCUAUCUCCCGGGUAAAGGCGAGGUUGCAUAGUUGUCUCGUAUGGCCGGGGCCUCAAGAUCUGCUCGAGCUCAUCCGAGCAGGGUCCAGAUAAAGGGGGUCACGGGGCCGGCUCUUGACAGACCGAGCGGGGAACGCUCGAACCCAUUCCGUGUGGGCUUCCUCGGAGAGGGGUCUCUGGGAUGGCUCCUCGCGGACCUGUCGCGGGAAUACCUCUCGCUGUCCCCGACCACCGAGGCUCGGGGGCGGGGAGGAGUCCGGGGCGCUUCCUCCUAGGGGGUUGGUCCCGCGACUCGUCCUCCGAAGGAUCAGGGGGUAACUCCUUCUCCUUCCCCUUGGCCUUGGAGGUCUGCGCACCCCCAGCCCCUCUCCCUCUUUCGCCUGACGGAUUAUAUCCUCCAGCAUGGGGAGGUUCUCCGUCACAAACUGGAAGAUCUGCUGCCUCCCUCCCCUGAAAGGGCUGAGCCCCGGCGCCUCGGGACGCCCCAAUCUCUUUCUGCGGGAACCCCUCACCGCCCCCAGGGCCGGUGCUCUCUGCCGUGCGCUUGGAUCGCGUCCUGGCCAUCAACACAAUCUUACUCACCUUACGGUUCCCACAGACGGCGCCAACUGAAGAAGCACGGAACUUCCCCUAGGAGAGCUGACCUGAUCAGCUCGGGGUGUUGAUGGGAGAGCUGACUUCAAGCCUGCAAGACAGAAAGGAUGAGCUAACUGAGGGGGCCCGAGGGGUCCCCGAGGGCACUCCGACGGUCAAGUUAGUUUUCCGGUGAGUGAGUUUCACGGGAAGUAGUAACUGUCCGGAGUAAAUUGUCAAUAGUGAGCGUACCUUGUACAGUGGAUGUGUGUUAUUAUUUAUACCUGCAAGGGAGUCCGGCCUCCGCACGACGCGGGACUUGCCCGGUAUAGAUAACAUCCCGCACAUAGGGGGAUUUCUCCCGACCUCCUCGGGACGGACCUUCGCCUCCCCUGGGAGCCCUAGCCGGUGCGGCCCAGGGCUGCUGCCAGGAGUCUGGGGGCCAAGGCCCAGCUCGGUUCCUCCUGGGCUGCCGCGUGUCCGGGCCCAGAACGGGGCCUCUGCACCACUCAUUUUAUGUUUUUAAUAUAAAUUUCGCUCAGUUUCACCAGGAAGCAGAGGAAAAUGAUAAAAUUAGGAAAGAAUAGAUUACAUAUUUUUAAUGUGAUUUAUAUGAAAUAAAAGAUGAUUUAUAUAUAUAUAUAUAUAUAUGUAUUUAUGGAUCAAGCAGAUAAAUUUAUAUAAAUAAUUCACUAUUCAAACACGGUAAAAAUUGCCCGUAUUGAGACCGAAGAAGCGAACAGAGCUGGGUUAUAAUUGACAUCCAAGCUACCUUACUCUAAUAAGUAAAACCCUUCUCUGUGCACCACACCACAGCAAUUAAUCGAAGCUGACUUGCCAACACACACCUAUGCCACAUCUUGCAACCAACUUCGACUAGCAACUAUCAAACCAAAUGGAAAUACUGGUAAAACCAUCAAAUGAUAACGAUAGAAUCAACCGCUGAACUUAGCUCAGUGGCCAUCAGAAAAGGAUUUAUGUCCCUUCUUGGACUGUAGAUGGAGAGUUCAAAUCCACUGUAAGUGGAGGGUUCAAAUCCCACAUUGGAUUCUAGUCAGAUCUGCAUACCCUUACACACAAGCCUCGUUAGACUCCCCAUUCCUGUUGAUUAGAAUUGUUGACUCCUUUUUGUGUUGAUAUAUUCUCCAACAAAAAAAAAAGAAAAAAGCGUGACAAUCAACCGUGCAGAAGACAGCGCCUUUAUUGGAAAACACAAAAACAGAAAAGAGGCGCGCCAACUUUGACGUCAAAUAACUGCGCCUUCAUUAACUACUGUUUUUCGUGGCUGCAGCAGGACCUUUGCCCCUUACCCACAGCUCGCUCACCAUUACCAAGCUAGCCCGCUUCCCCAAACCAACCGGGGGGCCUCCAGCACUGAUGUAAUCGCUAGAAAUGACGAUUUUUACUGGAUUCACCGCGAAUACUAAUAAACUGUACCGUUCUUGCCGACCGGCUCAUUCAAUUUGUGCUCACUAUUACGUUAUUAAUUCUUUUUAUCCAGCUAUGACCGGAAGCCGGUGGCUAGGUUCCAGAACUGAGUCUACUCCAUCAGAGUUCCGGGGACCAAACGCCUACGAUUUGCUCGGAGUUUCGCAGACAAGCUCAUUAGCAGAAAUCAAAGCUUCCUUUCAUAAAUUAGCCAAGGAGACCCACCCUGACCUUGCCGACUCACACACCUACUCUUCUGCCUCCAAUCGGUUCAUCCAAAUUCUCGCUGCUUAUGAGGUUAUUUGUUUUUAAUAGAAAUAAACAUCUUCUCUUUUAGUGCGAUUAUCACACUCAGUUUACAUUUGUCGUUCUGCUUGUUUUAUUGCUGUGAAUUUUUUUUUUUUUUUUGUGCUACAUUUCUUGUUAUGUACUAGGGUAGCGAGGGUAACUUUGGUGUAGUUAUCAUUAUGCUAGUGAAAUGAUCAAUUUUGGUGAUACAAAUGAUGUCACAAAUCGAGAUUCAAGUCAUGAAGAUUAGCAUUUAUUGCUAGUAUUUUUCCGCAAUGGAUUGCAAUCUGUUAAACUGCUGAAUUCUUAGGCUUAUGUUUACUGGACAUAAAAAUACAACUCGUAUCAGUUCAAGGCAGAAGAAUGAGAAAAAAAAAAAUAAAGAAAGAAAGAGAGGGAAAUUGAUCCUACACUGGAUAAAUGCAUUCUAUUCUAUCUUCAGUUUUAGAAGGCAUUGAACUAAAGUGUAGUUUCAUCUCUAAUGCAACAUCAGGAGCUUGGAUUUGACUUAGUUACGCUUGCUGAAUCCAGAUACUCUCAGAUUGUGAGAGGAGGGCGCACUACGAUCAAUAUCUAUUGUCUCAAAGGGUGCUAUUUCAAAGACUUCCUGGGCAGGGAUCAGAUAUUUUUACCUAUGAAUCACACAGAACACCAGCUGGGCAGAUGGAAGUUGUUGAAUGGUUGAAAUGGUAUAGAUAUGCUGUAAUUGAGAUUUUAUCAGAGAAAAGGGUGGUCAUAGGAUCAGGAUACCUUGAUGUAUUGGAGAGGGAUUUCUAUUCGGCAAUGCAUACAGCAUAUUAUGGCCCAGAGAUUGAGUGCUCAGAUCUUCUUCCUGAUUGUUUUGAAGCUGAGGAGAGGUCUCAUUGUUGCACUCCUGAGGUGCUGCACUUGGUGUUCGGGCGAGAUCUCUUUGGAAUGGUUCGUAUUACCAACCAGAUUCCUGAAAUAUCGCAUGCUAAAAGGGAAAACUUGACAUCUUUUGCAUCAGAUUUGUCUGAAUCCAUUCAGUAUGCUGAUGAUCUAAAGAACUCCAGUGUAACUGAUGGGGGCACUUACCAGAAGCAAGCAACUGAAUCUUGUUACAAUACCUCGGAUACAUAUAAAAAUCUUGAAUUAUGUAUAGGAGGAAGGCUGAUUGCUGUGGCCAGAAGAGAUCCACCACAGAGCUUAGAAGGGAAACAGAACAAAGAGGAUAGUAUUCAUGUUUAUCUCACUUCACAUGAUGACUCUGUGGCUAGGAGUCAGGUGUCUGGCGAGUUUAAUGAUGUGGAUUUUUCAGUUGGAUACAGGAUUCCACUGGGAACAAUAACUGGACUUGGGACCAGCCCGAUGAAGGAUCAUGCUAUGUCUAUGAUAAGAGUGGUGCAAAAACCCAUAUUAUCAUGAAGCACAGAACUUUGCUCGUACGUGUGCUUUCUUCUUUUUGCAUUUUCUCUUGCUAUUAGUUUUCAUCCUGGUAAAACAUACUUUUUUAGGGGAAUAAAUUCCCCAGACAUAAGCAUUCUAAUACAUUUAAACAUGUUAAAUAAUUCACAUCCCUCUACUUCGAUGGAUUCAUGUGCUGCAUGGUAGUGAAGUUGCAUUAGUACCUUACACAAAAUGUUGUUUGGACCUCAUUUCUGCUAGAUAAUUGCUGUUGAAGCUUUUAAGGGACAAAAGGCCCAGGUUUCAAGUCUUUGUAUGCAACUGACAGCUUGAUUGUGCAUUGCUUGCAUACUUCAGUUGCUUCUGCAUAUAUGAAGUUCAAUAUACGAGGCUGCAUACUAUCUGCGGGAACUUCUGUGAAGGCAUUUGAAAGUUCACAUGCCUGAGCAUUUUAAUUCUGAGACUUCUUUCUCUUUUUCUCUUUUUGUCUUUGAUUAUGUGUAAGAGGGGACUUCUUUCAGGUAAAACACAUGCAUUGGUAUCGAGUAGGAGAUAAAGCUUCAAUGUGUGAAUGUAGAUGCACCAGGGCUCGGUUGCCGCCAAGCAAGUAAGCCACAUUCUGUCCUUUCAAUUUAAAUUUACAGAAGAGCCCUGAUUAUACGUCUGCUAGCAUUAGAAGAUAAACAGCAUCUGUUCAAUAGUUUCGUCAAUUUGCUUAUUUUCGUUAGAAUAAGACUACAAGGUCCCUUCUCCUCAUCCUUCCUUAUAAAUCUUGAAUAAAUGAUGGACAUCUGGGAAGCACUCUGACUUCUUCCUGCUUUACAUAUUGGUUAAAACAAUUGAUAGUCCAUUAUCUCAAUAGAUUUGCCCUACCUAUUAUGUCCUGUUUUCGUGCGGCAUAAGACAUGGAUCAUAAGGAUAGGUCUCUAACUUGGAUUUUUUGAGCAGAGGGCUUCAACUUAGAUUUUUGAUAGUAAAGCUAACACGGCAUGUACAAUCUUCUUCUAAUUUACAUGUCUCCCUCCUACACUCAAAUCGAUGUAUUUUAUGUACCUUGAAUGAAACUUUUGAUAGCAUUGCUUACAACUUUUGACUUGGAAGUUGGUGUGGUUAAAGCAGCAUUGGUGCAUGCUCUCUCUCCCUCCCCUCCCCCCCCCCUCUUUAAUUUUUUUUUCCAGCAAGGGAGGGGCAGGACUUAAGAAGCUGGGAGGUGGCAGGGGAUUUGAACCCAGGACCUCUGUUUCCUGGGGCUUCAAUCACAUGCUGUCUAAUUUUCUCCUUUUGGUAGGAGUUUUUUAAAUUUUUACUUUUAUUUUUUGUAAAUAGCAAGGAAAGGUUGCAGUUAUAUGCAGGUUGACAACAUUUGCAAUCUUUUAUCUAGUCCAUGCUUGUCCCACAUCUUUUGAGCAGAUUCUCAUCUCUAAAAAGGAUUAUUCUUGGCCAUUCUUUAGUAUAAUUACCCAUUAAAUAAUGGCAGCUCAAAUUUUUGUCUCUCUCUUCUCCUGUCCUUUACCACGCAAAUCAUUUUCCUGUGCUCAACAAAUCUAUGGUUCCUUCCAUCAGAUUUUGGCUAUUCGAACCUCGCUGUGGCAUGCAUGACAUUGGAGGCUGGUAUGUCGAAACAUAUGGUAGGGAUAAGAAGGCACGUACUGUACCAUCCCAGAGACACUGGGAUGGUUUGGGUUCAAAUGAACUGUUUGACAAGUAUGUCUGUGAUUUAUGAGCCUAAAUUUGAUCUUUUAUUGACUGUAAUAGCAGUUUUCAUGUUAUAUACCAUAAAUAAGUUAACAGGAUCCACAAAACUUGAACUAUACUGUUAAUGCAGUUUUUGAUUAUAUUGUUAUCUGCAGGAGACUCCAUCCAGCAAUGUAUUUGCUUGCUCUUGCCUAUAGAAGUCUAGAUAUUGAAGAUGCAAGGAGAAGGAAGAAAACCGUGAAGGAUAUUAUUGAAACUAAAAUGUUUAGAAUUCUCAGCUGGUGCAAGAAACUAGCCUAAAAAAGUUGCCUAAGGCUUUCUCAAGUUGGAACUCGGAAGUGCCCAUAUCCAGAAUCGUCAUUGCAUCAUGCCUGAUGUUUAGGUAUUUAGUAACAAAAAUUCAUUGGAGUUCAUUGGAAUUUGGGAAUCAAGAACAAAAUAUCAUGAAAAGAUCUCAGUCCUUAUCUUGCUAAAUUGGUUUGGUAAUGAUGAUUCCAUAAGAGAAUGGGGUGUUUUUCUUUAUAAAGAUAAUGAUGAAGAGGCAUAAACAGAAAGAAAAUAUCAAAGGAAAAGAUAACUUUAUGCUGCCAUUGCAAUCUUAGUGAACAAAUAAAGUUUUUUGUCUUCAUUUUUUUCUUUCUCUGCUACAGUAAUCAGAAUGAAAGAGAUCAUACGAUGGAAGGAAUAGAGCUUAGUGAAGAAACAGAAUGAGUACUAGCUUUUGUUCAGCUACAAUUCCUAUCAAAGAUAAAUUUCAUAUAGAGAAAAUUUCAAGUUUGGGCUGUAAGGUUAUGUUGAUCUUAUAGAUUUAACUUGUCUUGUCUUUACAUAGUUGAUCAGAAUUAUCUUUCCUCAAAUAAGAGGGUGCCCCAAAUAAAAGCUGGACCUUUUGUUUUUUCUUUGGGCUACUCAUUGUCAUCUCAUAGCACUUGAUAUCAUGAUAUAAACAUAUAUCAUUGUGUUGUUACCAACUAAUCUGAGUUUUUUAGUAUGUCUUCAUU
This 75000-nucleotide long non-coding RNA is filed under the name Coffea arabica (coffee). RNAcentral's name for it is "long non-coding RNA (CARA_LNC004864)". The record is from RNAcentral. Lineage: Eukaryota; Viridiplantae; Streptophyta; Magnoliopsida; Gentianales; Rubiaceae.